Molecule: long non-coding RNA, 75911 nt
Filed under: Ananas comosus (pineapple)
Lineage: Eukaryota; Viridiplantae; Streptophyta; Magnoliopsida; Poales; Bromeliaceae
Description: long non-coding RNA (ACOM_LNC023911)
Source: RNAcentral
UAUAUAAAUUAAAAUUUAAUUUAAAUUCAAAUUUAUAAGUUAGAUUCAUAAUACUUGAUUAAAUUUUAAUUUUUAAUUCAAAUUCAAAUUCAAAUUUAAAAUUAUAAAUUUAAUUUUGAAAUUUAAAAUCAUAUUUUAAUUAAAAAAGUUGAAAAAAAAUUAAUCCGAAUAAAUAUUCAUUCCGUCCGAAUUCAACUUCCAAUUCGGCCUCCUAGGCCGGAUUAAAAAAAAGAGGUGAUUGGAGGAUUUCCAUUCCACUCGGGAAUCGGAAUCAGAAUGGGACUCCCGCAUACCAAACACCCACAAACGAAUUCACCUAUCCCGAUUCUGAUUCCAUGGUGAAAAAGAAGCAAACAAAACAUGCCCUAUAUGUUUAAACCUAAGUAUUUUUAUAAACAUAUUGUAGUAUCCAAGGUAUUUUGAGGUGAACAUUCUAAAGAGGGUGUUUUGUUUUGCAAUUUGAUGUGAUUUUUGAUGAAACGAAAAGUGCCAUCCUUAUGUUUUGCCAGUGUAGUAAGUCUUGUAUUGGACCCCGAAGCAAUUUGGCAUAGUAUGAUGAUGUUUUGGAGAUGAAUUGGCACAAGUGCAAAUUUGCCGAGUUGCAGUGCAUAUGUAAAAAGCGUGACAUUCCAUAUGUCAAAUUGCACGAUUUUUGAGGUGGAGGCACUUAUAAGCAAAACGCAACUAUGGAUGAGUUUUGGGUUGGAAACUAUGAACUUGAGGGACUAAUUGCAAUUUUUGCUAAUGUGGAAAAAAAAGCCAACGUGCGAAAGGGUUAUCAUUUUAUGUGAGAAAUUUUGAAAUUUUCAUGAGCGGAUAGGCUCGAGUAAAACUAGACUUAGAGGGGACUGCGUGGAUUCAAUUUUCACAAAAUUCCGAGAUUUUUGUGAAAAUUGGCACGCAUUUGAUUUUAGGGAGAGAAAUUUGCUUGCGGGUGCAUUUCGCAAAAAGUGCAGCGCGUUUGAUGCGCAAAAUUGCGAAAUCACCUAGUUGGAAGUAGGGUGUCAAUGGGUAUGGAUACCCGAAAUUUUAUUCAAAUCCGAACCCGAAUAAAACGGAUAUAUCCGAUGGAUAUGAAUAUGGAUUCGGAUAUGGAUAUCAAAAAUAGAAAUCCGACGGAUAUGGAUUCGGAUAUGGAUUUUGAUUGUACCCGACCCGAACCUGAAUCCGACCCGAACCCGAAUUUAUUUUGUAUUAUAUAUAAUAUAUAUAUGUAUAUAAAUUUGAUGUUAUAUUUAAAUUUGUAUUUUAAAAUUUUAGAUUUAAUAUAAUAUAUUUUGAAAUAUUGAAAAAUAAAAUAAUUGUUUCAGGUUCAAAUUUUUGGGUUCGGGUUCGGGUUCGGAUUUUGGAUUUUUGGUCGGGUUCGGGUUUGGAUAUGGAUUUUUAAAAUCCGUCGGGUUCGGGUCUCGGGCUCAGAGUCGGGUUCGAGUUUUUAAAAAUCUGCCCCCAAUCCGACCCGUUGACAUCUUUAGUUGGAAGGCCUUCAACAUAUAUUGGACUAUGCUGGGGAGUUGUACGUAAGAGCGAGCUGGUCGGGUAGUUAGUUGCAAUUUUACAAAGGAAAAAAUGUCAAAUAUGUAUAUAGGUAUAUAUGUAUGUGUAUAUAUGUAUAUAAUAUGUAUAAAUUUGAAAUCCUAACCUAAAUCCCCUCCCUCUGCUUGCUCACAGCCGCCGACGCCGGCACCACUGCCGGCGUCCCUCUCUUCUGUGGUUGAAGCCGUCGCCGGCGCUAGCGCUGCCGCCAUCACAGUCGCCAUGGCAGCCAGCACCACUGCAUUUCACGCCGCUACAGCUACAUCCGGGCCGGAGACUCCCCGUGCGGCCACACUUCCCAGCCGCGCCACCCUGCUCAACGGAAUGCGGCCAGAUCCGAGCUGCUGCUCUUAUUGGUCCCUUUUUGGCCGAGAAUACUAUUCCGGCCAAUCCAGACCUCCGGCAACCCUCCGCUGCUGAGCACGGCCACCCUGGUCAUUGGUGCUGUUCCAUGCCCCCCUAGCUGCUGGUAACGAUACCCUGAAUUGCCGUUUUCAUUAGUGCGCAUCUAGUGUUCGAUGAUUUGACCAGUUCUUCUUUUGGCCUUUUCGGGCAACCGGGUGGUCGGAUUUCGCAAGUCUUCGGAGCACGGAGAUCAGUGGGCACUCCUCUACACGGUGCUCACCUUUCUAGUAUGAUCCGGAUGCUCGGUGGAAUUGCGAAGCUAUCGGAUACUUAAAACGUCUCCGCACGGCCUAUGCGCACUCUCCGACCUUCGGCGAUCAUCUGGGUGCCCUUGGUUCUGGUUCACCACAGCAAAUGUAGAUUUUCGAUCCCUUGUCCUGUUGACUGACUCCCAAUUGCGCGAAUUUGGUAUGUUACAUCGGAACUCCACUUCCUUCUUUUAUAGAUGCUAUAUAUAUAUAUAUAUGCAAUGUUGGACGACGUGGACUUUUCAAUGCCUUGUGCUUCAUGAGUGGGGGUGAACUGUAGAGUUGGGUAUAAUUAGAGGCCCGAACUUGUUGUUCGAAGUGUGGAAGCCUCCCAUGAUAGCUAGAUUCGGUGUGAAUCGACUCGAAUCGAUUCGAUAAUUGGAUCGAUCGUGCAAUUUUCGAUUUUAUUAUCAUGGGAUCGAUAUUGUUGCUGUCCGGAUUUUUUGUUGAGCCUUGUUGGCUGAUCUUGACUCAUGUUCUAUGCCUCUUAGGAUGGCGAGUGCUCGGUGGAUGCUCUGGAUACCGAAAUAGGUGUCACGGGACCCACUUCGAGCCACUUUUGGGGUUAUAGCUUCCGUUUUGGUGCAUUUUGUUUGCGGCUGUCCCAACAUCUAAAAUAGGGUGUUUAGGGGACAGCGGGUACAACUUAGAGAGGUAUGGUAUGAGCCGGGGCACUUCGUGAGCUAAGGUGGCAUCCCGGUAGUCCUAUGCGGAAGUCGGUGGAUUCGGGAGAUCGGUAAGGAUGUCCGAUGUUUCGUUUGUGUCGUGGCCCAUUGUGGGUCACCUUAUGUCACCAAUUGGUGAAGUUGCAAUAUUGUGAACGUCAUUGGACCAAUUGUAAAAUACAUGUAUGGUGCAACACCAAAGUGGUGUUCGGAUCAUUGGAACGACACUUAUAGGUUCGGUUGUAGCCUGGUGCGGCGGUUGUCAUUCGGUUUGGCGAGCACUUAGCAUGCGGUUGUCUCAUCAUCUAAAGCGGUGAAUCUUGAGAUUGCUGUCGUGACGCGGUGACUUCUUGUUAAGUCGGCUUGGUUUGGGCUUAGUUAUGUAUGCCGGUUUAUGGAACCGACGUUCCGGUCGCAUUAUGAUACACGCGAGUAUAAGUGGAAUUUGUUGGUUUGAUAUAAACGACACGCAGAAUGUUGAUAAUGCUUUUGUUGGUAUUUUCUAGAUACAAGUAACUUCGAGAAUCAUUGGUCGAGUCGAGGACUCGGAUACUUGGUGAGGUGGGUGUAGAAUGUCGGCGUACCAGGCUGAUAAUAAAACUCUCUUUAUUACACACAAAAUAACUCUCAUUCACAUACACCCAUAAUACUACAAACUUCACACACUUCACUAUUCCUCACAACACUUCCUCACCUCACACCCUUUCUUCACUACUACCUCACUCACACUCUUUCACACCACCUCACACUCACUUUACUUGCUUCACUCUUGCACACUUGGUGUGGAGGCCUCACACCUAUUUAUAGGCCUCAACCUACAUACAUGAGUAUUCUAGAGUAUUCUAGAGCACUCAUUUCUAGAACCUUCUAAAGUGCUCUAUUAGUAAGUAGAGAGCACUUGUUUCUAGAGUGUUCUAUAAAAAGAUAGAGUACUUUGAUCCUAGAGUUUUCUAGAAUGCUCCAUUAGCUAUUAGAGAAUUGGAAAGGGAUAGAGCAUUCUAGAAUGUUCUAUUAAAGAGAGAGGGAGAGUUGCCUCUUUCAGUGGGUACUCCAUUCCGAAGUCGGUAAAGUUGUAUCUUACUCGGUUCUCCUUUCUACUUGAUCUAUUCUAUAUAUUGUUUGAGUAGGACAACUUCCCCUGACUUUAUAUCUGUAUAUGCUUUUACUCUACAUGCCUGUUGAUCGUUACAUUGAUUAUCGUAUUGAUUCGUAAACUCUUGAUUGAGCUCUCUCCUAUCUCAUAUGUGACAUGUAGAGUAGGUGACGAUCUGGUAGAAUAUCCACCUGUUCAUGGUUGGAUCUGAUAGAUUGGUACGUACUCCUCGUUGAGUUAUGAUUAUGUUAAUCAGUUGAUUUAUCUUCGAUAAGACUAGACCUUAUUGUCAGCGAGUUACCCUAUGAGAUUGACCUAGUCAAUCGGUGUUUACCUCCUCAGAUUUAACCUAAGGUCGGAUGACGUAUUCCAUCGUGAGUGUCUUUAGCAUGCACACCUUUGUCGCUCACAUUAUCUUUAUCUUCUUGAAUACUCGUUUAGUGUAGCAUGCUAGUCGACCGAAGAGUUUGGAUCUUGGUAUUUUUAUUGGCAUCCAGUGAGAUUACCUCUUGGCUCCUACUGUUGCUUACGGGCAGUGAUUUGAUUGUUGAGUCUAGGUUAUUGGAGCUUUGAGCAUACAAAUAUGACUAUAGCUUGUAUGGUACUGAAGGAGUCUUAGACAGGAUUUCUAACCGAGGGUACUUCAGUUGCCAGUCGGUGGGAGGUGAUGUUUCAUAGACGAGGUUCGCUACCCUAAGUUCUCACCCCCAGACUUGAUAUACACCGCGCUUAGACAGAAUUAGCGACUUUGGGUACGGGUUGAUGUGUCCCUCCGAAGUUGUACUUGAUUUGCAGUCGUCGAGAUCUAGUGGGCGAGCUUAGGCCGAGUCUUUAUGAUCGGCCACAGUGAUUGGGUAUAUUUUGGACUACUUACACGUCAAGUUGAUGCAUCGUAUCUCUUUUGGGUUGUGCGUGGUAUCUGGUUUACAGUAACGAUAUCCAUUGUUUAGUGGGUUAUGAUUCAUCAUCUUACUGCCGUGUUGGCAUAUGAUCUUGUUUACAGUAGCAGUAUCCCAUUGUAUGAUUACUCACGACAGUUAUUCGCUGAUCUUUCUUGCUGCUGUGGUUGAUUGUGUACCUCAUGCUUAGUAUCUUGAUUCUUACAUCAAUAGCGGCAUUAUUUUGUAUUCUAGAUCAUGACAUUUAUCUAUCUAUAUAUGAUGCUGCUGUAGUUGACUAUCUAAUUUUUGCUCUUAAUUGUUCAUCGUACUCCUUUGUUUGCCAGUGAGUGCAGCUUGCCCUCGUCGGCUGCUUGCCCUCAUCGGCUGCUUCCCCCACUGGAAAACAUAUUUAUAUAUUCCUCACCCCACUGUUUUUACAGGUGUCGCUGAUAGUGCGGGCCGGAGCGCGGUGCGAGGGCACGGUUAGUUAGCUAUUAGCGCCUAGAUAGCUUGUGCCAUGGAUCACAAUUUAUAGCUUUAGUUUUUUCUUAUCUCAGUACCUUAUGAUCUGAUUGUAGUUAUGUGAUAUUAUGUGUUUGGAGUUUAGUUGCUUUUGGGUUUUUUCUAGUGUAGUAGUUUAGUCGAUUCUAGAUUUUGGUAUUGGUUUGAUUGGUAGUUGUACAAUUAAACUAUCUUAUUUUGUUUGAUUGUGGUUCUGUAUCUGUGCUUCUACGUCGUGCAUGUACCGAAAGAUUCUGUCCGCUUGGACAGAGAAUGCCCUGUGCGUGUGGCGUGUUUGUGCAUGUCUCGGGCAAGGUUUAUAAAAAAAAUUCACGCUUUUCUGCAACUCUAUUUUCAAAUUGGAUGGUUUUCUUAAAAAUUAGCUUCCAAAAAUGGCCCGGAAUGUGACAGAUAUAUAUAUUUUUAUAUUUUCAAUCACAAUUUCAUUUCUAUCUAAUGUGGAAAUAUUUGAGAGUCACAUUUUCAUAGGUCAAUUAAGUUUAAAAAAAAAAAAACAAAAUUAGAAGAGUGCAAAGUGUAAAUAUAUUAAAUCAAAAGGAUGUAAUUACUUGAGUUUUUUAAAGAAAAAAUGUGAUUACAUUAUUGUUGCAUGCCAAAUCACUACCAAGAGACAGACCAUCUAUCAACCUAGGAAUGUAAAUGAGCUGAACACGGAGUGAGCUGAACCUCUAGGGAUGUAAAUGAGCUGAACAUGGCGUGAACUGAACCUCUCUUGAGCUUAGUUUGAAAAUCUAGCUCGCAACUUUAGUUUGAUUCAAGCUUUCCUCAACUAAGAAAAGCCUUUUUUCUUGUUCAUUCUAUUUUUUUUACCUUGAGCUAGCUCAAGCUUGACUUGUUUAGAGAGAGAUAUGGUUAACUACUUGGGGGUCAUCUCCUAUUAAGUUAUAUAAAUAUUAUCUAUUAAGGGCACCCUCUAGUAAUUCUUAUAAGAUACGGACACGUGAAUAAAGCUAGAAAACUAACGCAUAUCCUAGCCUUUAAGGGAGUUCCCUACUAAGUAUUUGGAGUUGCCACUAUCAAGAAGGACCCUUAGGAAGGAAGAUUGGUUGGGAGUUAUUGACAAAAUACAAAGAAGAAUUGACGGGUGGCAAGUUAAGUUACUCUCGCGUGGAGAUAGAUUAACAUUAGUCAAUGCAGUUCUUGCCAACCUGCCAAUUUAUUUUCUGUCUAUCUACAAGGUGCCCAAUUUGGUCAUUAACGUAUUGAGGCACCGAGGAAGGACUUCUUCUGGAAAGGUGGGCAGGACACUACAGGAGGAUCAUACAUGGUAGCUUGGAGAGGUGUAUGUACGUGCAAGAAUGGAGGACUUGGGAUGACGGAUUUAGAUGCCAUGAAUGAUGCCCUUAUCACUAAGCGGUGGUAGUGUUUUUUUCAUGAGGCCGUACCUACAGUGGAGGAAGCUGAUCAAAGCCCUGUACUACUAUAGAAAAAAAACACCUGAGGGAAGGGAAGUCCUUUAAACUGGCCUCAAAGUGGUGGAAUGACGUGAUUAAGCUUAGGGAUGCCUUCAUUUGUGGAGCUAGCUUCUUUUUAGGGGAUGACCGGCAUAUUGACUUUUGGUCGAACAGGUGGUGCGAUGAAACCUCGCUAAGCUCUCUAGUACCUGAUGUUUAUGAUAAAGUGGAGCGUAAGAAUGUUAUUGUAAAAGAAUGGUAUGCCAGUAAAGGAUGGAGAUGAAGGAAAAUAUUAAGAGGGUUAAUUUAGCGAGUUGGGAUAGUAACUUGGCGGUAGAGGAACUCAACCGUAGGCUCGCGGUGGUUAGAACUGUUAACAAAUCAGAUGAGAUCUUUUUGGCGAUGGAAUAAGAGACACAAGUUCACAGUCAAAUCUAUGUAUAUGAUUCUUAGCGACAGAGGUGUUAUUAUCGCCUAAGAUUGGAGGUUGAAAGUACUAGUGAAAGUAAAGAUCUUUAUUUGUUUAGUACUUAAAAAAAAAUCCCUACGGUAGAUAAUCUACUUAAGAGAGGAUGGAUGGGGGACCAGGCCUGUGUGCUAUGUACUGACACUUGCGAGACUGUAGACCUUCUUUUCGCCAAAUAUGUGUAUAGUAGGUUUUUACUUGUAUCGAUACUUGAAGAGCCACUAGAACUCAUGGCUUUUGAGGAUGUGCAUAGUCUCUAGAUGAAGUUGGCAGAGAAGGAGAACUCUCCAACUUUUGCAAUGAAUUUGAACCCUCGCGUGGCAAUCUAGUGGAUAAUCUGGCUUGAAAGAAAUAAUAUAAUCUUUAAAAAGCAUAGCUCAAACACUGUGGCAGUUAUCAUGAAGAUCAAGUACUUUGUGAGAUAUGGAAAUUGUUUUGUUAUCACCCGACUUAAUUUUUUUUUUCUUUAAUAUAAUUCCUUCUACCUUUUUUUUUGCUCUUCUGGAGGCCUAAUUGCCUUAUGUAUGAUGUAACUAAGUUUAUUUUUAUUAAUAAAUGAAGUGAGUAGCGUGCUACCUUAUUUUCAAAAAAAAAAACAUUAUUUGGAUACACAAUGCAGGAGCAAAUGACAAGGUAUUUGCAUGACUAAUGUAAAACAACAAUAACUGUUAAAAGCCAGCCUAGCUAAAAGAAACUGGUCGCAAGAAAACUAUAAGGCAUCUAUUCGUCUCUUCUUGUUAAGAAUAUUAGUUCUAUACUGAUUGCAUAUUUGAAUAUUGAUCUCUAUAUAAUGUGAGGGGUUUCUCUACUAGACAACUUGAGUGUGACAAUCCGACCUUUAACAGCUACUAGUCCUACAUUGAAUAAUAUGAAAGAGUAUGAAGAACUUAUAUAUUGCAGGUGCGCUAGAAAUAAUUAGUGGGCUUAAAUAUUUUAUUUUGGUGAUUUAGAGUCUAACGAGUUAUUAGUGCUAGCAGAUCAGAUUAUCACUGCUGGUAUCGGAGCCGAUUCACCAGCCAAAAAUUUGAGAUAGAUCUUAUGGAUCUUACGUCGUCUAAUAAUUAACAUUCUAGCAGUCCUACAUCAAAUAAUGUGGGAGAGUGCAAGAGACUUAUAUGUGGUGGACUCAAUCAAGUUUAAGUAUUUUGAGUCGAUGGUUUGGACUCAACGAGUUAUUAGUACUAGCCUUUGAACACAAUAUAAGCUCGAUUAUGUGUGUAGUUAGACCUAGGCUAAUUAGGACAUCAGGGCCAAAGCUUAAGCAUUUUUGGCUGGUGAUUUGGAUUCAAUGAGUUAUUCAUGCUAAUAUAUAGACUGGUCAUUACAUUGAGUUUGUGGCUGAAGGUUGAGCCUUCGAACAUGUUAUUAGUUCGAUUUAAACCUUCCUUCCGAUCUUAAAUAUUUCGAUUCAGCCCUAUUUCUAUGUGUUUCGUUUAGUUCUCAACUGAUUCAUCAGCAAGUCUAUAUCUUACAUCCUCCGCCUUUUGCUUCAUUUGGAGUUAUGCCUCCUUACAAUUGAAGUUCACUUUAUUAGAAAUGGUUAGGUGCAAUUUUUAGCUUAGAAUACAUAUCGAAAAUUUAGAUAUGUGAAAUUUUAUUACCUUACUUAUCUAUGGAUAUGCUAGUGUUUACUAUUUAAUAUUUGGCUAAAUUACAGAAAAUUCUCAUGUAAAUACUGAUUUUUUCACAUUUUCUUUAUAACUUUCAAAAACCUACAUUUUAUCCUCUUAAAAGUGUAGAAAUAUUUUCAGAAGAGUACGACGUUAAUGGAUAUCGCAAAAUGACUAAAUUGCCUUUACUUCUUCUAUACAAAAAUAUUUUUUAAUAUAUAUAUAUAUAUAUGUCAUUUUAAAGGUCAUUUUCGGUAUAAAUUAUAAAAAAUGAACGGAAUAGUAAUUGAACCCUAACAGAGGGGGACUUAAUACAACAACUUGAAAUAUUAAGGAAGUAAAAUAUAGGUUUUUGAAAAUUAGCGAGAAAAAUUAAAAAUACGAAUAUUUAUAAAGAGAUUUUCUGUAAUUUAGCCUAAAAAUUUUCUUUCAAAGACUUUGUAAGAUGUGAGAAUGCAUACACUUUGCGCACAAACUCUUCAUGAUUAACGCAUGAGCUCAUUCUUAUAUAUGUUAUUUUUUCCAAUUAUUCCAUGACAAAGCUUCAUCCACAUGUGAUUUUGUAGCUCUUCCCUUCUAUGCUUCAUUUUGGCAUGAAUACCAUACUUUGUUGAAGUUUUUUCGCAUUGCUAUUAAUUUGGAAAAGUUUAGAGUUUCAAGUGAAACUUAAUUUUUCAAACAUAACAUUGAAGUAUCCCUAUUAACAUUUCUAAUACGGGAGCUGGAACCAUGGAGAAGACACGGGGGAAGUCAGCGGCGACAGUAGCAGAUGCGAAGCAGAAGCUGAAAGGGAAGGCUACCGAUUCCACGGCCGGCCGGCAGAGAAGGGCGGCGGAGGCUUGCCGUGUGACCGGAGCUCCCACGGCCCCCCCAAACGCUCCUCUCUCUGGGUUAAGCUCUGAUUUGGAGCGGAGGUUUCUGAAGCUCAAACGAUUACUGAACACAGAUGUUAAGGCACUUACCUACCAUCAUCUAUCCAGUCAUAAUGGUUGUUCUACCUCCCGUUCCAAAAAGGUGCACUGGGCGGAUACAGCGGGCUUGGCUUUAACUCAUGUUACCAUCUUCAGGAAAGAUGAGCCCUGUUCUCACACCGGACAUCGGGCGGCUCCUAUAGCAGCUUCAGAUGAUAGCAUAUCACUGGGGUCAAGAUUCGGACAGCCGAACAUUUAAUCACCAAAGGCCUCCCGCUCCCUGCUGAUAAGAAGAGCUACAAGGAAGCUCUUCUCACUUCAUCCUCUAUCUCCAACCAGUCCGCCCCUCCCCCCCUUGGUCCUCCUAAACGCACUUGGCAUUCCUUCAAAGGCCGGUGCUUUCGGUGCCUGGGUCGCGACCAUCGAGCCGCCAACUGCCGAGACCCCAUCCGGUGCAUCUCGUGUCUUAAAAUUGGACACAAAGCCCGAGCUUGUAUGGAUCGCCCGCCAUUGAAUGUUGACCGAGAGAUGCGCGCUCGCCCAGCAUACUUGAGCGCCUUCGUCUCUCUGUCAGAAGAUUUCUUUGCCAGGCAAAAUAGGCGUCGAAACACCAUACUGGUGGAUGUGGUCCCUCCGGCGAACCUACGCCACUUCCCCAGGACACCAUCUCUAGUGGCCUCGCGAACCACUUCGGAGGCUACCCCACUGACUUUCUGGUAGCUAAGCACAGGGAGCGGGACUUCAUCGUCUUCCUCCCUGAAUGGGUUCAGAGCGAAUCUCUUAUCCGCAGGGAGCUCGUCAGCCUUGGGGAUUUUAGGCUCAGGUGUUUCGCCUGGAAUCCCUACGUAGGCGCUCGACGCUUCCUUCCUCCCUAUAAGGCGUGGAUCCGGCUGGUGAGUUUGCCUUACGAAUGUUGGUCCUCCCGCACCGUGGCGUCCAUCGUAGGAGGUUUCGGUCGGUUUCUCAGAGCAGAUGAUUUCACCACACGGAUGGCCGAUCUCUCGAGCUAUCGCUGCCUGGUAGCCGUCAACUACCUCUCCGACAUCCCUGAGAAUGUGGAGAUCUCCUUCGGUGGUAUCUCAAUCUCGGUCUUGGUACAUCUUGAAAAAUAGGCCCAAGAUGGCCCCGCAGGUCGCGUGAACCCUCCUCCGCCGCCGAACAAGAGAUCCGGUCAUCACGGCCCUGAAGCGGGACCCUCUGAAGACGAUCGCCGCAACGUUGCUCAUAACUACGGAGGGAGAUCGUCGGAUGCAGCCGAUUCCAGCGCGAUGAACUCAUGGGACUCCUCUGAGAUUAGAGAUAGGCGGUGCGAAACCUUUGCUCGUUCCACGCAGCUCGACGCUCCGCCGUACCCCUCUUUGAUGCGAACGAUCCCAGCCACGCAACCCGGAUUCAAAAGCCUGGGGAUGGCAAAGCCGGCUGCGGAUUCUCUGGUCGGCGGAGCUACGGCCGGCGAAGGCACAGCCGACGGUACCUCGCUCAUCCCGUCGCCAAACCAUUCAAAUUCCUCCCCACCCUUUCUUUCCGUUUUGGUGAAACCUGUUCGAAAGGUGGGGUGUACUACAAGUAUGUCAGGAGCCUCCAACUCUGGUUGGUCAAAAGAUGGACUUUUUGCACCCCUCCCAAGUGACAUUAAUUCCAUUCCCUCCCGAGCUCUCCUUGAUUGCUGUGACAAGGUUGGGAGGUGGGGCCCACCUAAUGAAGAGUGGACUUUGAAAUGUGGAGGGCUCGUGAACCCGAGAUUUCACUGGAGCAUUAAUUUCCCUUCCUCGGGCCCCACACUUCUUGACUCUUCGAUAUUAAUUGCUCCAAUUGUGGGUGUUAGCCUGGCGGGUCAGCACCGGAUUGUUUCCAUCUUCAUGCCAGGCUCGGGCCACAUCGGGCUGGACCUUCUUCUGCCGGGCCCCCUCCUUUGCGCGACCCCCCCAACUGACUGCUUUCCGGGCCCCCACCUUCGCGUGGGCUCCUCCACGAGCCCCUACUGGGGCCCCCACAUUGCUGACCGAGCCUCAGGGCCAACUGGGAGCCUUCACAAGGCCCACCCGGGCCUCCUCUUGGACCUUCCCCCCGUCGACUGGGCCUUGGAUUCUAGGGGAAUUAUUCACAAGGCAGCAACCCCCUCAAUCCACGACUACCCUCUCCAUCCAUCUAACCCCCCUUGCGAAGACAACUCUACCGAAAUUACCUGCUGCGACUGUGACGCCAUUACUCCUUCAAGGGUCAGCAGCAGACUUUCUAACCUUGGAAAGGAGACCAUUCUGGGACGCGCGAUAAGCAGGAAAGCAAGUCUGCACGAAGGGGAGAACUCUGGUCGCGGCAAUUCCUUGAGGAAAUGGUCGGGCAAGAAAAUCAGGGAGAAAAGCGCUCGUUGUGGAGUGAAUCUGUCCACUGCCGAAGCCCAUGAUCUACGCGAAUUCAUGUUCGGGCCUAGCUCUGUCUAGUGUUGCCUUGUCUUGCCUCUCGCUGAUGUGUUUUGCGUUUUGUUUCUUGUUCUCAUGUCGAUUAGCAUCCUCUCUUGGAAUACUCGAGGUCUUAACAAUCGUCGCAAACGAUGUCUAGUUCGGUCAGUUGCGUCCAAGCUUUAUUUUGCUGUCAUCUGUCUUCAAGAAUCGAAAGUAGACUCAGUGUCUUGCUCUUUUCUUCGUUCUUGCUGCGGUUCGAACUUUGAUAAAUGUCAUUUUCUCCCUGCCGCGGGGGCCUCGGGCGGUUUAAUCACCUGUUGGAACUCAAAACGCUACUCCUGCAGCGAAGUUAUUGUGCGAGCGUACUCCCUUACCCUUUUUCUCACUCAUCUAGCAAGCGGCAAGAACUUUUAUCUCACAAAUGUCUAUGGCCCUCCAAGCUGGGACGGCAAGGAAGCGUUUUGUUCGGAACUACUUUCCCUCAAAGAUGUCUGCCUCAACAGAUGGGUCAUCUGCGGAGACUUUAACUGCACCAAAAAUCAAUCUGAGAGGAAAGGACUUCCGUGGAGCAGGAAAACUAUGGCCAUGUUUUCCGAUCUCAUCAACAAUCUCGAGGUCAUAGAUCUACCUCUGUCGAACCAAUCCUACACUUGGUCGAACAUGCAACACAGACCCACCCUAGCCAAACUCGAUAGAUUCCUAGUUUCCACGGAUUGGGAUCUAUCCUUCCCUUUAAGCAAGGUUACUGCUCUUCCCAGGCAUACGUCUGAUCACACCCCGAUCCUUCUUUCCACGGGAACCAAACUCGCGCCGAGAAGAUUUAGGUUCGAGAAAGUCUGGCUCUCCAAAGAUGACUUUCGGGCCAACGUACCUCUCUGGUGGUCUGAAGUCGGCAGUAAGAGAUCUGCAAUCCUCACGUUAAAUGCAAAGCUUAGACACUGCAGGGUCAGAAUAAAGGAAUGGUGCAAAACAAACUUCUACAGCAUAGGAAAAUCCAUAAAGCACUUACAGGAGGAGAUACAGAAAAUCGACCUCUUAGAGGAGCAACAAAAUCUGUCCGAAAAUGUAUAAGAAAGGAGGGCAAAUCUAAAACUGCAACUCCAGCAGGUUUUAGAGGACGAGGAAAUUCUUUGGAAAACCAGGUCCAAACAAACCUGGCUAAAGGAAGGUGACCAGAACACCAAAUAUUUUCACGCGGUGGCCAACGGAAGGAAACGUACUAAAACUAUAGAUGUCAUCGAGGAUGAAGAAGGAGUACAACUUCACGACGAAAAGCUAAAGCGAUCUUUUUUCUACCGCAACUUUCGGUGCCUGUUUGGACAGAGGGAGGAGAGACCGCAACCCCACGGGAACUGGAGUGCGCUAUACCAGCAAAACAGACUGCUGAACCCCGAGCUUCUAACGUCACCUUUCGACAUCGCAGAAGUCAAGAACGCUACUUUCCAACUAGCCGACGACAAGGCCCCUGGACCAGACGGUUUUUCCCUUUUAUUCUUUCAAGCUUUCUGGGAAUCCGUUAAGGUUGAUAUCUUCAAGGUCUUCGUCGAACUCCAUGAAGGCUCAAUUUCCACCGAUCCAAUUGACUACUCCAUUAUCUGUCUUAUCCCUAAGAAAGAGGGAGCCCGUAAACUCAAAGAUUUUCGGCCGAUCAGCCUUAUCAACGGAAUACAAAAAAUUAUCUCCGAAGUUCUAACCAACAGGCUAGCCAAUGUCUUACCGUCAAUCAUCUCCCCCGCUCAAUCGGCCUUCCUUAAAGGCCGACUAAUGACUGACUCGUUUGUUACUGCCAGUGAGUUAGUCAGCUGGUGCUCUAAAACUAACACGGAUUGCGCUUGUGUCAAGGCUGACUUCGAAAAAGCUUUCGAUAAUGUCAGGUGGAGCUUUCUGAAAGAUGUACUGUUGUGGGCUGGCUUCAGUGAGAAAUGGUGGUCUUGGAUUGAACAGUGCUUGUGCAAUGCAAAAGUUGCCAUACUAGUGAAUGAUACACCAACAAAGUGGUUGAAAGCCCGGAAGGGAGUUAGACAAGGAGACCCCCUCUCCCCCUACCUAUUUCUAUUAGUGGCUGACUGCCUAGCUAGAUUAACCGAAUUCGCUAGAAGGAACAACCUUCUUUCUGGAAUAGGACCUUCCCCUACAUGCCAAACAGUCCUAAUUCAAUAUGCUGACGAUACUAUUUUCUUUUGCGAACCCCGGAAACGUAGCAUGAGAAACUUGCGUUUCUUAUGGAAAAUAUUUGAAUGGGCAUCUGGACUUCGAAUUAAUCUAGACAAGUCUGAGCUUUAUUACCUAGGAGAUAGGCCCCAGAAAGCGGCUAAACUCGCUAACAUCCUAGGCUGUGUCGUAGGGCACCUACCCUUCCGAUAUUUGGGUCUACCGCUUUACAACAAACAUUUGAGAAAGGAGGAUUGGUCCAUUAUUAUAACUCGCAUCAACACAAGGAUAGAAGGUUGGAAGGCCAAACUACUCUCCCAAGGAGGGAGGCUCACCCUCGUCAACUCAGUUCUCACCAGUCUGCCUCUUCUCUACCUUUCUAUUUUUAAAGCUCCUCAGUGGGUAUUGCAACGAAUUGAAGCUCUUCGGAGGGCCUUCUUCUGGAAAGGUUGCAACAAAAUCACUGGGGGGGCUUGCCUCGUUAACUGGAAGUCUGUUUGCAAAAGCAAGAAAGAAGGAGGAUUAGGCAUCAAGGAGUUGAAAGCGAUGAAUCUGGCAUUGCUAUCCAAAUGGUGGUGGCGCUUCUACAACGACACGGACCAGCCAUGGAACAACCUAGUCAGAACUCUUUACUACAACAAACGUAGACCUUUACACGAGGGCAGAUCUUUUGUACCCUACUCGCAUUGGUGGAGAGGCGUGCUUCACAGUCGUGAAAUCUUUAGAUGCGGUAUAAGUCAUACUCUUGGUGAUGGCGUCAACAUCAAACUGUGGUUGGACAUAUGGAUCGGGGAAACCUCUCUACGCACUUUCUUUCCGUGCCUCUUCGAUCAUGUGAGGAACAAGGAAGCCACAGUAGCCCAAUGCUGGAACACCAACGGUUGGCGCUGGCGCUUCAUCGGUCGGGGCACUUCAGGGCCACCAUCUGUGGAAUGCCGCAAACAACUAAUGUUAAUGAAGGAAAUGCUUCGGCACAUCCGCCCAAGCCAAUUGCUAGAUUCGAUCAACUGGAGAUGGACCUCUAACCAACUAUUCUCCGUCAGAUCCCUUUAUAGGUUUCUCACAGACGCUGGACAGCAGGACAUAAUGACCUUACCUAUUUGGAAACUCAAAGUCCCAACCAAGAUUAAAGUCUUCUUAUGGCUGCUCCUGAGGAAAAGAAUUCCGACUGCUGACAGGUUACAUAAACUUGGAUGGCUUGCAGAACAAUUUUGUGUUUUCUGCGCCGGCGACUCGGAAAGCUGCGACCACCUCUUGACCUCUUGUGUUUUCGUUCGUUACCUGCUCGUCCGAGUGGAUGGACCGAACUUAUUGCUCGAACCCUCGAUGGAUGUUAGAAAACUCUGGACAAAAGUUUGCAACCUUGCUGACACACAGAAGAGAGCACAAGUAUUGUCUCUACUAUCCGCCAUCUGGUGGGUUGUUUGGACCGAGAGAAACGACAUCCUCUUCCGUGCUAAGCAAACUAAUCUUUCCCGAGCUCUAGACCGUAUCAAUCUGCUGUUGGCUGAUUGGAAAACGUAGUAGUAGUAAUAGUAGCGGUUGCAGUAGUGGUGGUUAUAGUAGUUGUAGUAGUAGUGGUAGCUCUUCCUUUCUCUUGUUCUUCCUUCUUUUUCUUUUUUUUCUUUUUUUUCAUUUUUUUUUUUUUUUUUUUUUUGACAACUGGAUCGUCAUAAAAGCUGCAUUCAGGCUGUUNUUUUUUUUUUUUCGUUUUAGUUUUUUGUUCGCCUUUUGUUUUGUCUCACCCUUCUCGCUCCCCUCUUGCGGAAGCCGUGGCUGCUUCCAUUAUGUAAGCCUAAUUCAUUUUCCUAAUGAAUGAAGCAAGUAGCUCGCUACCUAAUUCUCAAAAAAAAAAAAAAAAAAACAUUGAAGUAUAUAUGUUUGUUAAGAUCUCUUUCGCAAUGAUAUAAGGCUUGAAAUUCUUAAACUCUACUUAAGCUCUACUCAAAUUGUCACCUAUUGAGUAGCAUUAGCAAUAAUCAUAAAUGUCCUCUACUCACACCUUAAUUAAAAUACUCAAUUGAUAUAUGAUAUGGGAGGAAACCACACAUAAUACUAGUUCAACAAUUUGGUUCAUUCUCAUUUCGUUGUAAGAGAGAAUUCAAUAGUCUCAACAAUUUGAAAGCCAAAAAGUCUAUUUUCACAUGAUAGAUCUUUAUUACUUAAUUCAAUAUCUUUUCUUGGAUAGCUGAGGAGAGUAAACUAAAGAAUUGUCAAUGCCAAACGAGAGCCAAAUAAGUUGGAAGGAGGGUCUUAUAUGAUGGAGUUCUAAUCCAUACAAAUAGAUUAAUUGACAGUUUGUAGGAUAUACGUGGCAGCAUUUCCUGCUUCCACAAAUAGAAAUUGACACUCUACCUUGUCAAGCAUAAGUGCACUUUCACAUAUAGGAGAGGUUGUGAAUAGUCCAACGGGAAGGAUCCAAAUGGAGGAUCUUAGUCAAAAUAUAGUUCAUUCCCAAGGUUGGACCAAGAUAUUCCCGAGGUUUUCCAAGGUAGUAAAAAUAGCUCCUUCUCUCUUUUCCAAAUAGUAAAAUAGAAAUAAAAAAAACUCUCCCUGGUCAAAAGGAUCUCGAAAAAUCUGGAAUCACAUAUUUUCCAAAAUAUCUUUAAGAUUUGAAAAAAUCUUGAUUUCUAAGAAUUGAGCUCUAUAAAUAGCUCGAGAAGCGGUGAGGAUAUAUAGGCAUCGCAUAGGGGAUAACUUGGAGAAUUGGCAGAGUCGGCAGAGGCGGCUGCGCGAGAGCGAGAGGCACUACAACAAAAACGGUGUAUAGCGACACUUUUAAAUAUCGGUACAGAUAAAAAAAAGUGCUACUGGCAAAAUUACCAACACUUUAAAAAGUGUUGCUAUAUGUGGGGUCGCUAGGUAUAUAGUGACAGUUAAUGUCACGCCCCGGGACCGGCAGGGGCCCUCCCGGUAGCGUGCCCAGACCCGCCAUAUGUCAACACAUAUAAGGCGUCUACAACAACAGCGGAAAUAAACCAAAGAAUAACAACAUCUAGAGAUAUCAGAGCACAAAUAGAUCUAUCAUCUACAGCAGGGUAAAAGGAUAAUACUAUAACAAUAAGAGUGAAAUAUAAAAUAAUACAACAUCUGUCCUAAAAGGUACACAAAAGGGUGGUCUCUAGUACACUGGUACAGCUCUCAACCUCUCCAAAAUAAAAUACAUCGAGAGGUAGACCACCUAGCAACUCGUCACUUGCUGAAGAGUUAGCUCGAAGCAACGCCCUUCCCACGGUCCCUAGCCUCUCCCGGCGUGGAAGGCUCUGGAAAAAAACAUAAAAUAGAGAGCAUGAGAACUAUAAUUUAUAGUUCCCAGUGGGCAAUUACUGACCUCAGCUCAAUGCACCACUAGGCCCCAAAAGAAAAGGGUAAGUACGGUAAACAGCAAUAAUAAUAAUGACAACUGUGGUAUGAAAGUAUACAUGUUUACUAAGCUUACUAUACCAUAACAUUACGAUGUCAAUGUUUUACAUUUACUCUUUCAUAAAGAAGAAUGUACUCUGCGUAAGUAAUAUGUCCCAACAUGGCCACAGGUAAAUGUCACGGUCUACUUUAUGAAGUUAUAAAGAUCAUACUUUAUCAUGACAACAAUAUAUAUAUGGAUGCAAUAAGCAACAUCUCCUAGCAUACUACAUGUAUGUAUAUAUACUCAAGUGUCCAAAACUAUGCUAGAAGCAAGUCCAAGUAAUCCAACUACUACUCUCUAUCUAGUAGUGAUUAUACCACACACAACACCGUGUCGAUUUUCAUUUCUAAUUAAGGACCUAUCCAAGGUAGUUCAGCUUGUGCCGCCUAAGUGCCUGUGGUAGCCCAACAUCCAUAUUUUUGGAAUGUGUCUGUCCCACUCGACCCCGUAGGCAUCUCAAUACCGCACGAGCGAACAUAAGUCGCGUAGGCUAACUCCGGAGUGCCGGCUUGUAGGGAGCGACCCUCACAAGUAUGUGCGAAUGAGCACAAAUGGCAAGCAAGCAUAGUCAACAUCUCAAGUAUCCAAUCAUCAUGUCUCUAACAUGGUAUAGUCACUAGCAUCUCGAAGAUCUAGUUCUAAGUCACAAAUGAAGUUCCAACGUUCAUGAAGUCUAAUGCCCCUUGAUGACACUCAGAUGUUUCAAUGUUUGAGCAUAUACCAAAUCCCUCAAUGGCCCUAUCCACUAGGUUCACCCAUGUCCCGAGCUCAAUGCCGCUUGAUGACAUUAGCUCUCUAAUUCACAUAACAUUCUAGUUUGAUGCUCCUAUAUGGCAAUUUUGUUAUCUUUCAUGUCUCAAUUAAACUUAAGUUUAAAUGCAUGAAUCAAAGCUCAUUUACACUAUAAGGAAUAUGAUCCAACAUAAGAAUGCCAAAAAAUCCCGCAUAAGCUUCAUAUGCUAUUCUCUACUACAUAGAGAUCCAAAAUUUCAUUAUAUAUAACAUAGGCAUUUUAAGCAUUCCAAAAAUUAUAAUAAAUACAUUUAGUAUGAAUAUGCAUGCUUUUCCAAUUUAUGAAACAUAUAUCACCAUAUAUGAGAAUUUCUCAUAUUAUAGGAUAGGUCAAACCCACCAAAAUCGAAACCUUCGUUUCGCCGAACGGAGGUAUCCACUAGCUUCCUAGUACCCUAGAAACAUCAAAAAUAGGGUCACCCAAACGAAACGAAGAGCAAAUAGCUCAAUCAUUAACCAUAAAGCAAAAAGGGUCAAAACUCACCUCAAGAGAGAAAUCUCUUCUAAAGCUCCAAAAGAGGGCUAGAAUCCUUCCAAUCCAAGCCCAAGGAAGGUUCUAAACCAAAGAAUCUAGUUCCAAAAACCCUAGAUUCAAAAUGCCCAAAAUAAACCCUAAGUUCUCGUUCUAGGGUUUCAUCUCAAAGAAAACUCCAAAAUCCAAAACUAGAGGAAAGGAUCUUGCCACUUACCUCUUAGAAGCUUCAAUCCAAGCCCAAAGUCCUCAAACUUCUAGGAUCUUCCCUCCACCGAGCUCCAAACCCAAGCUUCAAGCCUCAACAAUGGUGGAAAUGCCUCCAACAAGCAAAAAUAGAAGUUUAAUCUCUUGAAAACCCAACAAAAAGAGAUCAAAACCAAAGAGAGACAAGGUGGGGCUCCUCUUACCUUGUCUCCCUGUGUUCUCAGCUCAGGGAAGGCCCCAAGGGGCGUGGGUGUUGAUAUAAGGAGGCUACAAAAGCAAAAACACCCCUGCAGUCUAGACUGCACGAAAAAUGCUCCCUUGUACCGGUACACGGGCCUUUGUACUGGUACAAGCCCCGCGAAAAAUUUCAACCCGAGGCUCGGGUUGGGGGGUUCAGCGGCUCUAUACCGGUAUAAGCCCGGUGGCUGUACCAGUACAACCAUCAACCUUGUACCAGUACAACCACCAACCUUAUACCGGUACAAGACCUCCGGAUAGCUACCCGAGAGUUUGCCAAAUCCCCUUUUUCGGGUUUUGGUGCAAAACUUUAAACCGCAAAUCUCGGGGUACGAACCAUAGGUCGGAACACAGUCAACGACACCCCAGAAAAUCUGGAAAAACUCAGAACACAGCUCAAACACUCGAACCUCGCAAUUUGCAAAGGUCCAGUGUGCUACAGUUAAAAAGUGUCGGUAUAAUCUAAAAAGAGUGCUGCUAAUUUACCAACACUUAUUUAAGAUUUAGCAACCGCCGGAACUCUACCUCGUUGGCUGCGGUGGUAGAGGAGGAGGAGGAGAGUAAAAGGCGCUUCGUCUAGAAUUUCAGUGGAUUGAGUGAGAGGAGAAGGGAAGAUGGUAAUCAAUUUUUUUUUUUUUUCUUUUAUGUUUGUAAUCGGGCCGAAUGGGUUGGGUGGGGUAGGUUGAGUAGAGUAAUCUUUUAUUUUUGGUUGGAUUAGGCUUUAUAUUUAGGCAUUAGUGGAUUUUUUCUAAAGUUUUGACAUAAAUGAGACACUUACAUAAAAGUGUCCCAAACAUGUGUCCCUAUAACAUAAUUUUAUUGUAGUGAGGGGUCAUCCACAUCUUCUGUUGCAAAACAAAACAAAAACUAAAAAAACAGAGUUUGAAUUUUUACCUUCUAAAUUAGCCUUCUAAUGAGUUGAAUUUUUUCUAUUUUUUUAAAUUAUUUUAUUUGAAAUAUAAAUUCUUAAUAUCGAGUUGGCAAAUAUUUUGAUAUUGAGAAGUUAACGAUUUUUUCUGAUAUAUUAUGUUUUUAAUUUUUUAAAAUAAAUUUUAAAUUUUAAUUAAUUCUUAAUAUUGAGUUGGCAAAUAUUUUGAUAUUGAGAAGUUAACGAUUUUUUCGAAUGUAUUAUGUUUUUAAUUUUUUAAAAUAAAUUUUAUAUUUCAAAAUUUAAAUUUUAAAUAAUUAUAUAUUAAUUAAUUAAAUUUUUAUUUAUCUGCAGCGAAGCACGGAUUUUAUAAUAGUAGAAGUAAAAACACCACUUUCAGGCAAAUGAAAGUUGAAAUUAUAGACAUAUUGGUCAAAUUUAAGAGUAAUUUACAUGUCAGCUCUAGCAUUCAGUAAGCUGGACGAGUAUAAGGUUAAUCGGUCGCCUGAGUAUAUUUAGAUAAUUAGAUUUCUAUUUUUUCUCUUUACAUUUUAAAUAUAUUUAUAGUUUAAUUCAAUACUUUUUGAUGGACUUUAUUUAGAGUUUGUUGGAAUAGUGUGGGCUUAUUAAGAACUUAUCUAUUAAAAGCAUUUUUAAAAUUAUAUGAAAGAAAUAUCCACAAGGAUGAAAGGAAAUAAACACCAAAUUAAAAUUCACAAACAAAAUUUAGUAAAAACAACACAUAAUCCUGAAAAAAGACAAGCAAGCAAAACAUUGCAGACAAAACAAAAUUUUUUUACUACCCAAAUUUAAUAAUUUUUCAGAAUUUGGUAAUUGUAAUAAAAAAAAUCGAAGACUUUAUCAAAUUUAACUAGUCAAUCAACAGUUAAUUGAUAAAAUUUUUAAUUUAUUUAGAUAUAAAAACUCAAAUAAAAAAAUAUUAGAGGAGUGAAUUCAAUUUAAAAAAAAAAAAAAUAAGCGAGGGGAUACGUUACUAUAGUUGAGGGGUCUCAAUACAAUUUUACCUAAUGGGUCGGGUCGGGUUAGCUGAGCCGCGCUUCGAACCCGGUAGACGGAAGUACGAUCGGGACCCUCCAUCGGCUCGACUCCCCUCCUCGUCCGUUCUUUCUGGCGGGAAACCACCCAUCCCUUCCCGCCAUUUUCACCUUCCUCUUCCCCUCACCCGUCUCUCUCCCUCCUAUUCCCGCCACAAACUCUCUCUCUCUCUCUCUCUCUCUCUCUCUCUCUCCUGUUCAUCUCCUGUUCAUCUCCGUCUCUCCAUGGCUUCUCCGGGCUAUUCCUCUCCCUACGGUAAUGUUACCAAUCUCUAUAUCAGUAUUUUCUUCGCAUACUUUCGCCAUCUAAACUUUUCUCGUCGUCGUCGGCAGGAGUGUCGUCUCCCGACGGCCGAUCGUCGAGCCCGAUCGCCACCACUCCCCACCGCGGCGGCAGCCCCUUCGCCUCCGCCUCCCCCCGACGCCCCUCGCGCCGCUCCGCAUCGGCGGCGCCCUCGACGCCGAUGUCCACCGACGACACCCUCCCCCCCUCCUCCUCCUCCGACGCCGGCGACGACGCCGCCUUCGCCGGCGACGACGCCGACCCCACCCCGGUCUACGUCUGGGGCACCAGCAUCAGCGUGCAGGACGUGAACGCCGCCAUCCUGCGGUUCCUGCGCCACUUCCGCGAGCCCGACAACAGCGCAUCGGCAUCGGCGGCAGCGGCGGCGGCUGCGGCGAUGGAGGAGGGCAGGUACAUGCGGGAGGUGCACCGGAUCAUGGAAUUGGAGGGCGGGGAGUCGCUCGACGUCGACGCCCGCCAUGUGUUCGACUACGAUCCCGACCUCUACGGCAAGAUGGUCAGGUACCCGCUCGAGGUGCUCGCCAUCUUCGACAUCGUGCUCAUGGAUCUCGUCGCCAGGAUCGACCCCUUGUUCGAGAAGCAUAUCCAGACCCGGAUCUUCAAUCUCAAGUCCUCGGUUUGCAUGCGCAAUCUCAACCCCUCCGGUGAGAUUUUGUGCGGCAUUUCCGUAAAACUUUAAAAGAUGCUGUUGUGUAUGAUUUACUAUUUUUCCCAAUCCGAUCAUAAUUCAAAAUUCAUUUUGACCUUUUUUAUCGAACAUUUUGUAACCCAAUAGAAUAUUUAGGUAUUUGAGGAAAUGUUCUAAAAGUUGUUUUUUUUAAUGAAAAUUGAUGAAUUCUAAAGAAUUCGACAACAUUUUACGCAACAACGGAUAGUUUUGGUAGUGAUGAUCUUUAUUGAUUAGGAGAAGGGAAAAAUUUGAAUUGGGGAUCUAUUGUUUGUAGACAUUGAGAAGAUGGUGUCGGUGAAGGGGAUGAUCAUCCGUUGCAGCUCGAUCAUACCGGAGGUCAAGGAAGCGGUGUUUCGCUGCCUCAUCUGUGGCUAUUAUUCAGAACCAAUCUUGGUGGAUAGAGGUUUGAAUUACGCUUAUUGAACUAUUAAUAGUUACUAACUCGAUCCCCAUUUUGAUCUUUAUGUAUGUACUAUACCUAGAAAAGUAGUACAGGUUAUUAGUUGUUCUUUAUUUCACUGAGAUAAUCGACAAGUAUUAUGUGUCGGUUUUUACGCAGCAAACCGAUAGUUUUCGUGAAUUGUUGAGCUCUAUAGCGUUUUCUAGUAGUGCAUUAUUGUAAUUGUUGGUAUAUUUUUGUUUAAUGAGGUACUUAUUUCCAUCGAUAAAUUAACCUUGUCAAUUACACGUCUAUCCUGCUGAAAUUGAUAGAGGUGACACCAUGUACACCAGCUUUAUAUGAUUGAUCUAGAAGCUUCUUGCUGAGAUUAAGCUCCAAUUUGUUUGCUGCAUCUAGGGAACCCAGAUACCUUGCUACCUUAAGGAACUUGAGCCUCAUAUUCCUCUCUUUACUAAGAUGUUCGUUCAAAUCUAUUCUUAAAUAACUUUUGCUUUCCGGUGCAAUUCAUGGCUUUGACAUUUUCGUUUGUUUAGGACGAGUCAGUGAGCCAACCAGAUGCGGUAGGCAGGAAUGCUUGGCCAUGAAUUCCAUGACACUCGUCCACAAUCGAUGCAGGUAUUUGUUUCUUGUUCACGUGAUAGUAUUGUCCAUGAUGAAGAGAACUAUUGCUAUUGCUUACAGAUGUGUUUUAAACUUUUUUUUAAAAAAAAAAAAUCAGAUUCGUGGACAAACAAAUCGUGAAGUUGCAGGAAACGCCAGAUGAGAUACCCGAAGGAGGAACGCCACACACUGUUAGCAUUUUGAUGCAUGACAAGCUUGUAGAUGCUGGGAAACCUGGAGACAGAGUUGAGGUUGGAAACAAUUUUUAGAUUAUGUCUAUGUAUUUUCUCAUUGUUUUUUUUUUUGCCCCCUCUUUUCCUUGUUGAAAAAGUACUUAACUUUUCUUUUUUUCAUUUGCCCUUUCACUGUAGAUUACUGGAAUAUAUAGAGCUAUGAGUGUUAGAAUUGGGCCUACUCAGAGGACGGUUAAAUCCAUAUUCAAGGUAUAAAUAUGCCUCGAACUUUAAUGUGAAUAAAUAUGUUUCUUCUUUUACGUGAUCUGCAUUUUACAUGUAUAAUAGCCUGAAUGGUUUAAAUGUUUAAUGAUGAUGAAUUGAAGAUGAUGUAGUUGAUUUCUCUUUUCUCUGCUGUGUAGACGUACAUUGAUUGCCUUCACUUAAAGAAAACCGACAAGUCGAGGCUUCACAUUGAGGACACCGUGGAGUGCAAUAAUAAUAGCUCUUCAACCCAUAAGGCUGGUGACGAUGAAAUGCCCGACUACCAAGAUAAGGUUUUUUGCUUAAUCUCCACUAACUUAUCUUAUUGCCUUGAAUGGAAAUUGGGUUUUAAUGAUGUUGAUUUUCUCUUUGUUUAGUCUAAUUCUUUCUUCUUUUUUCUUUUCUUUUGAGUUAUACAGGUUGAGAAAUUAAAAGAACUCUCGAAGUUGCCAGAUAUCUAUGACAGGCUAACCGGAUCUCUAGCUCCGAACAUAUGGGAGUUGGAUGAUGUGAAAAGAGGCCUUCUUUGCCAGGUUUCUUAAAUGUUCUCUUUCUGUUUAAAACGACUCAAUGUAUUCAUGAGGCAUCAAUUCCAAAUAAAUAAGAUAAAAAUGCACAGAGUUUACUUGAACUGAAACACGUAUGACUACAUGAACUUGAAAAUAUUUUGAUUUUACUACCAAACUUGGCAGUAUGUUUGAUUUAAGUAACUCUUUCUCGGAAUUUAAGGGUCCCUAAGACGGAAUAUUUUGUACCCUAACAUUGACUAUAUGCUAUAACUUGUUUGCUGGGAACUGUCAAGUUCAGACAGAACUUGAUGAAAUUUUUUGAAAUCGGACAUAAUGAAAUGCGAGGGAGUAAAAUUAAAAUUAUAAAAUGUGUAGGCAUGCCUUUCAAAAUGAUCUCAAGUUCAGGUAAGGUCUUACAUUUUUAGCUUUGAGCAUUUCAUACUGUUCAGAAAUUAUUUUUCUGAUAUUUUGUUCCACCCAAUCUUCUUGGUUUAGCUUUUCGGCGGGAAUGCUUUGAAGCUUCCCUCGGGGGCUAGCUUCCGAGGGGACAUCAACAUUUUACUAGUGGGAGAUCCUGGAACAAGUAAAUCCCAGCUGCUUCAAUACAUCCAUAAGCUGUCGCCACGUGGAAUUUACACCAGUGGAAGAGGAAGCUCUGCUGUUGGCUUGACAGCUUAUGUUACAAAGGAUCCAGAGACUGGUGAAACUGUAUGUAACUCCCUCUCGCUGAAUUUUGAUGACUAUAAAGAGGGAAGAUAUUCAAGUUAUUUUGUGUUUGAUCUUUUUGAUGAAUAUUUUCAGGUUUUAGAGAGUGGCGCAUUGGUGUUGAGUGAUCGAGGCGUUUGCUGCAUCGAUGAGUUCGAUAAAAUGUCAGAUAAUGCACGGAGCAUGUUGCAUGAGGUCACUCAUUUACCAUGAAGAUGCUUCGGCAAUUUUUACUUCCUUUUUCGAAACUUUUUGUUGGACCUUUCUUUUUUAUGUGAUUUUAAAAUUUUUAUGUCACUACCGUCCCUUGUAUCAAUUUCUUUGGUGCAACUGUUGCAGGUUAUGGAGCAGCAAACCGUAUCAAUUGCGAAGGCCGGGAUUAUUGCUUCCUUAAAUGCGAGGACCUCAGUAUUAGCUUGUGCAAAUCCAAGUGAAUCACGCUACAACCCUCGGCUCUCAGUGAUUGAUAACAUCCACCUUCCUCCUACUCUGCUAUCUAGGUAAGCUGAUACCCCUAUGAUAAACAGACCAGACUGUAUGCAAAUUAUUUCCAAGAUAUCGAAUUAGUACAUUGUUUCUUUCUUAAAUAGGUUCGACCUGAUUUACUUGAUACUAGACAAGCCUGAUGAACAAACAGAUAGGCGUCUAGCGAAGCAUGUCGUUUCAUUACAUUUUCAAAAUCCAGAGGUAAGAAUUCAUAUCUUUGAAAUUCUUUAUGUUGCAUUAUGGUUCUUUGUUCGAGUUGAUUGCUGGCAGCUACAGCCUUUCAGAGAAUACUUACAAAAUGCAUGCUAAAGAUAAGAAUACUUGGGAUCGCUUGAUCAAAUAUUUGCACAGAUAUAAUUCUAUGCACUUGCAUUUUAGAAGUAUGUGGUAUGAUGCUGGAAUUUACUACCAUUGGUUGCUGUUACUGGUAACUUUAUUAAGUUAGCGUCUGUUUGUCUUGGCUUAUUGGAACAGCGUGCCUAUAGCAAAAUGUGGAAGCUUUCAGUAACAAGAUUUUGGCUAACAAAUAAUCUUGAAAUUUUCCUGUAGUGCAGAGCUAAAAUGAGCUCUCUCCGAUUUGAAGCUUCUAUUUUUUCUGCAGCGAGAAACUGUGUAGGAGAUUAUGAUCAAAAGGCUUUUAGUUCUUUUAACAAACAGCUAUAGUCCAACAGCACUCCUGUAGAAGCUCUAGCUGGGCUAAACAGAUCGCCCUUCGUGUUUGCUUAUACCAAUUAUUUGAUGAUCUUUUAUUUUUUUAGACUGUAGUGCAAGACGUGCUGGACCUCCCUACGCUGGUUGCAUACAUUAGCUAUGCGAGGAAGAACAUUCAUCCACAGAUAUCUGAUGAAGCUGCAGAAGAAUUAACGCGCGGCUAUGUUGAUAUGAGGAGACGAGGUAACACCCCAGGAAGCAGGAAGAAGGUAAGGGAAUCCCACCCUCUACAAAUCUGCAUUGUUAGCACAUUAACACUGAGCUGACGCCGUUGCAUUGUUUUUUCCUUUUUUGUUUCGCGACCAGGUGAUUACAGCAACAGCCAGGCAAAUCGAGAGCUUGAUUCGUCUUAGUGAAGCGUUAGCUCGAAUGCGGUUCUCAGAAUGGGUAGGAACAAUUUGUUUGUGCAUUUAUUGUAAUCAUCUUUGGAUUACAUCUGGCUAAAGUGCAGGAAACCUCGUAUGAAUUUAAUGAUUUUAACUUUACUACCCGGAUAUUUCGAAACAUAUAUAUUAGCCCUGUAAACUAAAAUUUUUCACCACUUUGCCUCCUCCAGUUAGUGUUCCUUUGGCAAUAUACAUCAUUUUCCUUAUAGACCAAAUUGGGUAAUAUAUAGGUACUAAAAUGUCAGAAGGGUGAAAGUAGAAGGUGUUUUGCCGCAUUUUAGCCAUUAAAUUUCCUUUUAUAGGUGUCUUUCGAUCAAAAGAAAUAAGAUACGGUGAUCAUGUUUGCAGGUCGAGCUACGAGAUGUUAGGGAGGCAUUUAGAUUGCUUGAAGUUGCUUUACAGCAGUCAGCUACUGAUCAUUCAACAGGUAAACACCCCAAAUCUUUCAUCGCAUUUUCCUUUUUGUCACAAAUCGUAUGCAAUCGCUUACAGUAAUUUGGUUCUCCAAAAAAGGGACGAUCGACAUGGAUCUGAUCAUGACUGGAAUAUCUGCAAGUGAAAGGAUGAGGCGCGAAAAUCUAGUUGCGGCAACUCGUAACCUUAUUAUGGAGAAAAUGCAGCUCGGCGGAGCCUCUGCUUACCUAAGAGAUGUAACAGAACUUUUAUUAUUUCAAUUGUAUUAAAUUUUGCAUUAUAUCCAAAGAUAAACUGAACAAUGUAUGUUGAUCAUGCAGUUGCUUGAAGAGCUGAAGAAACAAAGUUCAGUCGAAGUCACCCAAAAUGAUGCAAGUUCUCCAACUUUGUAACAUUGAUUUCUUUGGGGAAUUUGAUCAAUUUAGGAACUAACAUUCGGAAUUUUGUUGUAAUUUUUUCUUUUUCCAUUUUCCACAGCUGCGCAAUGCUCUUGCUACUCUCAUGAGCGAGGGAGUCGUCGUUAUUCAGGGUGACAGUGUUAAGAGGAUCUAAUCGGAACUACACUAUGGCAAACUCUGACGAUAUUAUAAUAUUUUCAUUUUAAUCGUCUGCAAGGGAGAAGCUGAAGAUGCGCCUCAUACUGAGGGGCCAAACACUGCUUUCUUGGGACUUUAUAUGGAUAUCUACUGCGGUAGCAUGUGUGUUGUAUUGGAAACAGUAUUUCUAGUCGGUACACUUACGACUAAUGCAGAAUCCAUUGUAUAUUCUUUGCAAGAACUUGGGUACUGCAGAACCUGUGUCUUGUCAUACAUGCUCUAAUUCAGUACACUUAUGAUUCAAGGCGGGGGCCGCUUAUUGGAGGAUAUUCCAUGACUUGUCCUUCAGUGUUAUUAUAAUUAUGUUGUCAUAAUGUCAAAAGUGAACCAGGUUCAGUGUUUUGAUGUUUUCUCCCUCUUUUGUUUAUGAAGUAACUGGUUCAGCCCCUGUAAUCAUUUGGGUUCUAUGUUGAUUAAUAAUUCCUUAAUUCAAUCGGAAGCACGUGUUUUAUGCCAUGGAAGGUAGCAAAGAAGAAAUUGGUUUCGUCAGUUGUAGUUUAUUUACAUCGGUAAAUUACAGUUGAGGCGCAUCUAAUCUCGGUCGCGACGCGCAAGUCCAUUUGAUGACAAACAACCUGAUUGGUAAAGAGCUGCAUCUGUUGGUUGAGAAAUGAAAUCCGAAGUACAUUCAAGAUCAAUGCAUUCAUUUGCUGGAGAAAUCAAGACUCGAAGGCACUCUGACUAUGUCAUUGCUGCAUGUUUCAGCAGUGACCUCUCUUUCUUUUUUUUUUCUUUUUUCUGUGUGUAGAGAAAAGCUUCUGCAGUAAGUUACAAUUAAAUGCAGUCAAUAAUCUAUUCUGAGAUUUCGAAGCUGUUGUUUCAGAAGCAGGCAAACUGAUUAGAGCUACAGCAAGUAGUCUCGGAUCGCUUUCUUGGUGCACGCUGGACCGAUUUGUUGUGGGCUAAUCUCAGGAUUAUCUUCUCUCAUUUUGCGCUCGUCGCAGUAAGAGCAUCACCUAUGUAAGAAAACUAGAGAAUUUGUAAACAAUUAGGUCACCAUAUCAUCCUUUCAUGGGGAUCUUACAUUUUUUUCUCUUUCUUUUUGUUCUUUUUUUCCUUGAGAAGGGGGGAAAUCCUUUCUGGGACGGAACUGUUGUGACUCGAAAAGCAAUUCGAUAGAAUUCAAGAACUUGUCUCACCCAAGAAUUUGUCCCAACUUCCAUUUCUCAGAGGUAUCAACAACCCCAGCAAAUAAGCGAAAACCGACAUAUACUUCUUUUUCAGCACAUUGGCUAAAAUACUGGGUCCCAAGAAGCAAAAUUGAACUUAGCCAAAGUUCACUUAAUUUGAAGCAAUAUUUUUGGUCUCACUGAAACAAUUCAUAAUUUCCCUCACGUGUAUGAAAAGUUAUUGUAUGGGAGCAACCGAUUGCACAUGCAUCUGAUUCUAAAUUGCACGAAAAAUUAAGUACAGAAGAAACAGCAAAUUAGCACAUUAAUUCAUAUUUUUAAUGUAAAAUUAAUGUUUAUUGGUGUGGGGGACUUGUCAUUAGAAAAAGGCAAUGAUGGUUUGAGGCCUUUCACUUUCUACGCCGUCGGCCUAUUUUAUAUCAUGUGCUUCAUUAGACCUCUCAGAAAACAAAAAAGAAAAAAAAAAGAAAAGAAAAAGUGAUGCAUGGGGUGUAAAAAUAUAUGUAGGUGGUUAGCAAAGAGGGUUUGUUUUUUUCUGCUGCAACUUGCUUCAGAAUCCUUCUUGGUGACAACUUAAUUCUGUAGAAUCAUUCAUGCAUGUGAUUCACACCUUCAUUAGAAGUAACAAAAUGAAAGAGCAUUUACUUGUGCUAAUGCACAUUUACGGAAUUAGGAGUUGUUGAAGAGUUUUAGAGUUGGUGAGGGCUAAUUUAAAUAUACAGGCUAGGGAAUUUCAUCAAAACUCCAUGUUGUAGCCCGAAAAGGAAUAAGAACAGAAGAUGCAAUCCACACCAAGCUCGAAUCUUUCUUUCGAUCCGCGACGUUUAAAAAGAUCUCGAGAACUCGAUCGAGUUUACUCGAACAGUGCAGUAAAAGACAAAACAUGCUGUAAAACAUGUUGUAACUGACAACAAACUUGCUGAAAACAAUAACAGUUGUGGAAAAGGAUUCAUUCACUCUAUUCAUGUGUAGCGGCGGCAGUCACCGACAGUCGAGAAGUUAAUGCAUAGAGGUUCAUUGUCAGAUGUGCUAAAUGUGGAUUCAGGAAACAUUUUAAUAACCAAAGAUUGCUUGUUGCUUGUCCUCAUUGUUAUGUUUGAUUUGGAUCAUAGCAGAUAUUUUAGUUAAUUGCAAUGUGAGAAUCUCUCAUAUUUUAAUGGUAGGGCACAAAGCAGCAACUAGCCUUUCAUAUUAGAGAUAAUUUAAAAGUACAAAAUGUGGUCAAAUUACACCAAAAAGAAGUGACUUGGCUUUCUCAUUACUAUGAUGGCAAUUUGGAACUUGUGAUAUCAUUUAUGUGUUACUCUAGAUUGAUCUCAUUAUGCGUAUGAGAUAAAAUAUAAAGUGGCAAUUUCAAAAUGUACCCCUUUAAAAUUUCAUGGAUGUCCUUACCGUCGGAUCAUUGGCGCUAACCAUUAAUCCCAAAAGCUCGAACGGUUAGAAAUACGCAACCGCUCUACUUAAAACGUACAAACACAAUGCCCAUGAAUCUCAAUUGUGACUCUACCCAACCAGAAUCACGCCAUUUCGAAUAUGACUCAACCCAACCCAACCUCACACCAUUUUGAAUAUUAUUCACCCCAACAUGGCCUCCUGUCAUAGGACUGGAUACUGACCCAUUUAUGCCAACACUUAAAAAAUCUAAAAUAUUGAGUAUACUCCUCUAAAUAGAUGAAUUUAUUAUUGCUAACCCUACCCAGGUUAAUUACAAGAGUUUUAAACACUAGUUGAAAAUUUGAUUAAAUGACAAUUUUACCCUCGACUAUUCCUUCUUGGGCAAAAUAUUAACGCAUGUUGCUUUCUAUAAUUUAUUUUUUAUUAUUUAGGAUAACUUGCAUUUGAUUAAUUUUUUUCAUUUAAAAAGUGGGGGUAAGUUUGGAAUUUUAGAAAUAAUCCAUCAAAUUUGAAUGAAUUUUUAAGGGGAAUUUGAGAAUAUUUCUACUUUUUCCGGGGCAUUGGUGAUUUUCUGAACUUCGAAGGCGCAUAUACUAGAGAUUACAGUUCGACCGGAGGGCAUUCGCGAAAUUAUCCUAAAUACUCAAAAUGAAUGUCCAUAGGAAAUCACCAUUUAAAUUUCAAACAACAAAGUUUAAAAAUCAAACUGCAAUUCGCAAUUUGGAAAAACUUUCUCAGAUUCUGCCAGAUUUUCCCGAAAGGUAGGGAAAAAGAGAAUAAUCCUCUGCAGCUGACAGAUUCAGAAAAUCUGUCGGAACAGGGCGACAGCGAAAAACAAACACCGACAAAAUUAAAUGGAACAAAAAUUUGUUGUGAUCAGAGACUUUUGCAAGAACAUUAUUCUCAUCUACAUCUUUAUUAUUCAGAAGACAAGUAAAAAAAGCACAGGGGGCAAAAAAGGCUGGCCAUCUCUAAUCCCUCACAUUUUUAACUUCUUCCACAUUCAAAACUUGAGAAAGAGAGGGAGAAAAAGACAGAGAGAGAGAGAGAGAGAGAGAGAGUUUACAAUCAAGAAUUUCAAAAGAAGUCAAAAUCGAAAUCACUUGCCAAUGCUGCUGCUUGAGAUACAUCGAAGGCGGCGUCGGAAUUAUCCCGCGAAAGUGAUCCCAUCAUUGAGCUGCUGUAAUCUUCAGCACUGAACUUGUUCUCAAACAUCUCCUCACCACUCAAAUGUAUCUGACCAAAUGACUCCAUUUUACUGUCAGAAGCCCAAAUCAGUCCCUCACUCUCAAUCACAUUAUUCCCCUCUGCCCCCCUGUUGCAGUUCCAGUUGCUGCUGUUGCUCGAGCUCUCGCCGUAGCACCCGUAGUUCUCCGAGACAUCCACGGCGCUGCUGUAGUCGCAGAGCCCCGAUCCGGGCGCUGCGCCAUCCUGAUCGAGAGCCCGAAAAGUUUGCUGAAGUUGGUUGCUGUAGUAGAGGCUUGCGCUGAUAAUCGCACUCGGAUCGUGGAAUUCGGUUAAUGGGAAAGGAUCGAAGGCCGGUUUCGUCAGAAAAUGCUCGAGGGGAGGAGCGGCGACGACGAUGCGGCCCGCGUUAUCGAGCACCGGCUUCCUUUCCUGCGCUUCUGCUUCCGGCGCGUCGCUCGGAAGCGGCUUGUGGGUCGACGGGUCGAUCCCGCGCUGCCGGAGCUUCUUCUUGAGGCACGAGUUCCAGUAGUUCUUGAUCUCGUUGUCGGUCCUCCCGGGCAACUGGGACGCGAUCUGAGACCAUCUGAAUACACGAAAGAAACGAAAUUUUACGCCGAACAUGAACGCGAAUUGCGGCAGUGAUCGAGCAGAAGUCAUUGCAGCAAGACUUGCAAACCGGAGCUGAUUGAAUUUUCACCUGUUUCCGAGGAUCUCAUGAAGGGCGAUGAUCGAGUCCUCCUCCUGCUGUGAGAAGCUCCCCCUCUUAAGAUCGGGCCGCAAGUAAUUGAUCCACCUCAGCCUGCAGCUCUUUCCACAUCUUUGUAGACCUGCACUAAUGCAGCAAAGAUUGAAUAAAGAGCACUAGUUAAGUGAGAGAAAGUAUAUGUAUAUAUAUAGUAAGUUUGUAUAUACAUAUAUAUAUAGAGAGAGAGAGAGGUGUAAUAAGUGCCUGCUAAUUUUGGAACAGAGCUCCAACACCCAACACCAUGUCUGAUGAUGUGAUUGUAGAGCUUCUCAUCCUCCUCAGGAGACCACAAGCCCUUCCUCAGCUUCUGCUUGAGACAGCACGAGUGCCGUCCCAUUCUGCGAAGAGAGGACCGAAGCGAAUCGAAUCGAAUCGAAUCGAANGGGGGGGGGAGAGGGGGGAUUUAAUACUCCGCUGGUCGCAACUUGCGCGUUAGAUUAUAUGCCUACAUGAACAUAUAUGCUUGAAAAUGAAGUUAGUUGGAGAGAAAACAUUUACAAUAGAGAGAGAGAGAGAGAGAGAGAUAGAUAAAGAGAGAAAGAGAGAGAGAGAUAUAUAGAAUAGCUAGCUAUAGGAAAGUGAAAACAAUUAAGUAGGUUCUAAGCAAGCACCCUUGGUGUUCUUGCUAUGCAAUGGAUUGGGGUUUAAGUCACCUUUUGUUGUAGCAAAAAGGGCUUAGAAUAUAAUAGUGUAGUGUGAGAGGAGGAGCAAAAACAAUGUGGAUUAUUAUUAUUAUUAUUAUUAUUAUUAUUGUUGUUGUUGUUGUUAUUAUUUGAGUUUGGAGAGAUGGAGGGAAAGAUAUAAAUUAAGAGCUCAUUGGGGUUAGUUGGGGAUAUGACAGUAGAUUUGAUAUACUCAUCAUCAUCAUCAUCAUCAUCAUCAUCAUCAUAAUCUUUCUUAAUGAAGAAUAAUAAUACUCACAAACUAAACUAUGUAUGUUUGUAUCCACCAGUGUGAAAGCAGUGAAAAAGUAGUCUUAGUAUUUGACCAUGUAUGCUAAAUAUGUCUUUCAUGGUGAUCAACCACAAGAAAUCUUAUCAGAUUAAUUUCCUCUCUCUUUCUUUCUUUCUUUUUUUUCUUUGUUUUUGGUACUCAGAUAUAUAUUGUUCGACAGCGCCCUUCAAAGAUUCUUCUCUUGGUAUGAUCUGCCAACCUGAAAACUGAUCUCCCCCUCCCUCUAUAUUUCUGAUGAUGAGGUCGUGCGAUACGACGCGAAAAUAAUGGAAUCCAUUUAAUAUGUAAUGAGGGUCUUCAGUAGGCAUUAUUAAGUCUUGUUUGAUAGCAAUAAGUUUGCUGUUGUAAAGAAUUAAAGAAGGGUCACAUACUAGCUACAAGACAUCACGAUUUGAUGCGAAAAUAAUCGAAUCCUUUUCUGUAGGGUACCCUCAAAAUGCAUUUCGAUAGAUGUAGCAGUACUAAUCGACAACUUAGGAACAUCAAAACUUAUAUAUAUAUGUACAGAUAGAGGAGCAAAAAUUUCUACAAGGCGUAGAUCAACGGUUCGCACCGAGCUAUAUAUAUAUAUAUAUAUAUCUUAAGAUGAGCAAUCAUUUGAUUGAUUUUGUGCACUACCUAGCGAUGCAUCGAUCGCUGUUAUCGCGAUGCGAAAAUGCAUCAAAUGCAUGCACUGCUGAGGGAGAGAUGAGUCGCGCCACCCGACCAAAGCAAAUGGAGAGGGCCCAAUAUUUUUUGACUAAUUAAACAACCAAUUGAUUCAGAGAGAUCUGGUUAGUUUUAAACUCUAUGGUUUAAUUGAAGAACAAGAGCAUUAAUUAAUUAGUACACAUUAUUACAUGAUCCUGCUCAUAUAUAUAUAUGGACAAUAAGCUACAAGUUAAAGAAGCCAUUAUUUGUCACUCAUUUCAUCAUCUCUAUUUUUAAUCAGUCCAAACUAGGGUUUUAAAUGCACCAUCAUCAUCAAUAUCUAAUUAUGAGAGGUGGCAAAGGCGACAAAAUUUAAGUAAAUUAUAUAGAAGGGCCAGGGCCACAAUUUUCUUAAAUUCAAAUACGACUGUCUAAAAAUUCUCGUGCUCUUUAGAAGCUUAAGCGAUUAGAGAUAUGGCAAUCAAAACCAAUUUAUAUUCAACAUGUUGCUUGUAAACUUUUUAAGUAUUAGUUACAGAGAAACAAAUAGGAAUAUAUAUAAUACCCGAGUAAACAUAUUUGCAAAACAGCUGAUUUUAUAUAUAUAUUCUCUAAAAGCCUUAUAAGUUAGUACACUAUGAUGUCGCAAUAUUUUACAUUCGACAUUAAUGGUAAUUAACUUUUUUCUAUCCAAACAUUAUAAAUGACAAAAAAAUUGCUUUUCUUUCUUAUCAAAUCCUUCAGGAGAUAGGGGUUAAAAAGGUCAAUUUAGUUAGAUGAACAUAUACACCAUUGUUGUGGGCUUUAAGAUCUUGCACCCUAAGUGAACUUGACCCUUGACAUGUCUCCAUGGGAAAGGAAACAUCAUAGUGGCUCCUCUUUGAAGUUAUGCAAGCCAAGGGCUAAAAAGUGAGAGAGAGGGUGAGACAUAAAAAAAAAAAAAAAAAAAGAAAAAAAAGAAAAAAAAGAAAAAGGAAUGAUUAAUUAAUAAAACAAUGGCCAAGGACAAUACUAAUUGACUAGGGUCUACUGCAAGACAUGUGAGGCCUACUAGCCUUAAUGCCGUAUAUAUAUCUUACAUGAUUAGUUUGUUUGUUUUGUGUAUGCGCACUGUGGAUCGUAAGCGCUAAUUAAUUAUUUUAAAAAUACAUACCGAUAGAAAUAACGUAUUCAUCGCACUUAAGGGCUCAGCCACAGCGGUCGCGAAUUUCGACGGGACACAAUCCACCUAAACAUUGAGUCUAUUGUUGGACCUCUUGCCGUUAGGUUUUUUGUGAACCACACCCACUCAACUUAUUAGGCUCAUCCCAACUCAACUUAUUAGUCUAGACCUAUUAUUAUUAUUAUUAUUAUUUUGAGAGAAAGGUAUUAUACUAUCCACUUCAUUUAUUUCAUUUAGAAAUAAACUUAGCUAGAAAUGUGAAUUAAUUAAGAUUCGAAUUUGGGUCUCGAGUACCAACCACCAAACUCUUUUAGGCCUAUUAUUAAGGAGCAGAAAGUUGGACAUAUUUUAGUCUAAUAAUAAAAUAGCGAACAUGUGCGUGUGUGUGUGAGAGAGAGAGAGAGAGAGAGAGAGAGCAAACUAUGCACUGCACUAUAUUAUGGGUUAAUUCCUGUUAAAUAUAAUAUAAAAAUAUUUAAAUAAUAUUCUUUAAUAAUUUAAGUUUUUAGAGAAUAACGGUUGUUUCAUAUAAUUUAACAUGAUAUCAGAAUAAUAAAUCCUGAGUUCGAAUCACGACAGGCUCCUAACAUUAUUAAUUUUUUUUCAUGUAAUUCAAAUUCACGUCAUAAACCUACAAAGAGUCUCGAGCAUAGAUAACGAUUGCUUCAGUUCCAUUCAUAACCUAAUUAGGCAACUUUUAGGGCAAAAUAAAAUUUUAAUAAUUUUUUUUAAAAAAAAAAGAAUUAAAUUGCAUUGCUGGCCUAUAUAUGGUUAACUUUCAUCCUCAAAACUGGCAUAUUCAGCAUUCCAAACUUUUACUUAAUUUGGAAGUGCCUUACUUUAGUUUAGUAAGUUUAGAAUGUCAAAUGUGGACUUCAAAAGUUUGAUAAUCAAAGUGGCACUAAUCGGCCAAAAGUCCGGGGAGUUUUGUGCAAUUUAUUAAAUCUUAAGAUUGUAGCUUUCCAGUAGCUCCAUGUACUUUCCUAGGAAAAAUCACUCAAAGGAGAAAAGAAACUUUUCUUUUUGCAACAAAAUAAGCUUACUUUUUUUUUCUCUCUUUGUACUUUUCCAUCUCAAUAAAAAUACUGCAGCUAGGGGGGGCAUCCUUUUUCUUUCUCCAAUAACAAAAUAAAAAGUAUUAAAAAAAAUGGCAUGCAGAGAUUUUUUUUUUUUUUUUUUUUUUUUGCUUUUGAGUUGUGCAUAAAUCAUAUCUUAACUAAAAUUGUGCAAAUACCCUUGUAAAAUAGGUGUUUCUACUUAAUUAUAUCUCUAAAAACAUUGUUUAUUACCAUGUGUACGUGCAAUACUACUUGAUGUGUUAUGCAAAGAGAGUUUUGCAUGUUAGAUUAGUGAAAUCAUGCUUCGGGUCGAUAUCAUAUUAAAAAAGUUGAAAAUUUGAAGUUUCUAAAUGUUAAAUACUGGAACUUAAGUUUGAAUACCGGUUCUAAGAAGUAUCUCAGAAGUUCCUCAAAAUCUAAAACUGUGAAAAAUUGUUUCUUGUAUUGUAUACCGAUAUGUGACUCUGAGCACCGGUACUAAAAUCCUCAGAACCUAAAACUGUGAAAAACUAUUUUUUGUAUACUGGUACGUGACUUUGAGUACUGGUACUGAAAUCCUUAGAACCUAAAACUGUGAAAAACUAUUUUUAUUGUGUACCGGCACGUGACUUUGAGUAUCGGUACUGAAAUCCUCAGAACCUAAAACUGUGAAAAACUAUUUUUUGCGAUUUGAGUUCUAGUACUGAAAUUCUGGGAGAAUUAGCAACAAUACUCCAAACUAAGUACCUAGUACUCAACUUCGCGAGAGUCUGAAUAUAUUGGAUUUGACUCCAAUUUGAUUCAGUUUUGUUCCUUAAGAUUAGGGAUGGUUCAGGCUUUGGAGAGAAAUUUUAAGAGGAGAUCGACAGUUAGAAGUAAAUCAGGGACUCAGUUGGAUGGCGGAGAUAGUUUCCUAUUAUAAUUAGGGUUUUAUAGUUAUAAACUCUUCUAAUUAAUUCAUGUUUUAAAGUUUAGAGUCUCAUUUUUGGAGGUUUCUCGGAUAGAGAACUUUAUUAUAGACACCCUACUUGACAGAAAAAUAUGUUGUAAUCGAAUAUUUCUCUCUGUAUUUUUGUGCCGAGAUUUAAUUGAAGAUCGUAUUGAGGUGGUCUUACUUGUGGACAUGUGUCUACACAUUGUCAGCUGAACCAUAUAAACUCUAUGUUCUUGUGUUCUCUUGUUCAUUUUAUUAUUUUGUUAUUUUCAUACUUAUUUUCACGGUCGUUCUUGUCUAUUUUCAUCUACAAAAGAUCAUGUUUCCGGUCCUCUCGUGUAUCGUGUGGGUUUGAGAUGUGCUUGCUAAUUCCUCGGUCGGUUUCCUUCAUUGCAUAGUAACUACCUUGCAUAGAAAGAUUCUUAGAGAAAUGCACUCAAAUGAUAAUUUUACAACAAUGUAAUACAAUUUAACAUAUUUUUGGAUUAUAUAUAUGUAGAGUUGAUCUAAAUAGUUUUAAAAGCAUUACUAUCCGCGCGCACACAUCUAAUUUUUUGUCACGCCUCGGGACCCAGCGGAAGCCCGCCCGGCGCGUGUCCAGACCCGCCAUAUGUCUAAAACAUACAAGGCGUUUAAAACAAAACGAUAAAUAAAGCAAUAAAAAGAACAUCUAGACGCAUCAUAGCAAGAUAUAUCUAGAAGCUACAAUAAGGGUAAGAAAUAUAAAAGUAAAUCCACUAAGUAAAAAUAUAAAGUGAAUACAAUAGGAAUCCCAAUACAAAAACUAAACAAGCACAUAGGUGGUCUCUCUAUACAUGGUACUCAAAAUCUCUCUCUCUCUCUAAUACAAUAAAAGAAAGAGUAAACCACCUAAGCUCAAAAAUAGCUCCCCGCUAACUAGCUACGCGACUCUCUUGCCGCGAUCCCGUGCCUCCGCCGGUGCCGAAGGCUCUGAAAUAAAACCAUAAAACAGGGAGCGUGAGAACUAUUGAAUAAUAGUUCCCAGUGGGCAAUUACUGGCUUCAGUGAAAUGCACCACUAGGCCCAAACUAAAAAGGGGUCAGUAAGCAGAUAUAGACAAAAACGAUAUGUACGACAAGUAACUAAGCAUGAAUAUUGCUACCACAUGAUAUCUCUACUUAGCAGGAUUUAGCAUAAGUAAGAAAAAUAAUUCUCAUAAGAAUGUACCCAAGCAUCGCUAGUAUGAUGUCCGUAAGUCAAAUAGUAAAGGUAUUAUUGUUUACUAUUCUAAUCAAUAUUCACAUGGCAUGAUGAAUGCUCAAAAUCAAAUCUGAAGAGACCCGCCUGAAGGCUGUCUGGCCCUGAGACCCACCCGUAGGCUGUCUGGCCAGUGCCGAGCCUAAUGGCCCCGUAGUAGUCAACAACCCCACUCUAGGAAUGAGGCAUUCCUACGGCAAUUCACUUCGGCGCCCAAUACCGCACAGCAAAUAAGUAUCACGAUGGCCAUCUCCGGAGUGCCGGCUUGUAGAGAGCGACCCUCACAAGCAUGUGCGAAUGAGCACAAUGGCAAGUAACAAAAGAUCCGUCUCAAGUACUAAGUCCUCAUGUCUAACAACAUGGAAUAUGUCACAACUCUCUCAUAGGCCUAUCUCUAUGUCAUCAUGUCUAAAACAUGAAAAAUAGUAGAUAUCCAUGACCUAUCUCUAAGUCUCAAUACAAUAGUCUCAUAGUUUGCUAGUCCAAGUUCCCCUUUAUGACACUUUCAUUUACUAAGUCCAAGCUUAACCCAAAUGUUCAUAAAUGCAUUAAUUGAGUCACUUUAAACAUAUGAAGCAUAUUUUCAAACGACUAGUGCGAACACUACCCAAUGCAUGUAACAAUACCUAGAAUGCUUUACUAUAUAGAGUGAAAAAUUUUUUGUACAUAACACAUGCAUUUUAAGUGUUCUAAAAUUCACAUAAAUUUUAUUAAGCAUAGAAUUGCAUUUAAAAUGACGUUACGACGAGUGUAGAAAGCACGGGAGCCAUUUCGCCUCGUUUUCAUGAAGCCAAACCCACCAAAAAUCAAAACUCUUCGUUUCGCCGAACGGAGGUGUCCACUAGUCUCCUAGCACUCUAAAGAUGUAGGAACAAGAGUUACACAAUCGAAACAAAUAUCGAAAAGCUCAAUCUUUAACCAUCUAAGCAUAGAGGGUAUAACUCACCUCUUGUGAUGAAAUUCCUUCUCAAGCUUCCAAAGAAAGCAAGAACCCUUCCAACCCAACCUACAGGAAGGUUCUAAACCCAUCAAUUAGGUCUCCAAGCUUUCAAAUCAAAAAUCUCCAAAAUAAACCCUAAAUCUCAUUUCUAGGGUUUCAUAUGGUAAAACCUACCAAAACAUGGAUCAAAGGCUAGAAUCAAGGUACUAACCUCUCUAGAUGCCCCAAAACAAGCUCCAAAUCUUCUAGGGUUGAAGAUUGAUCCUCCACAAGGUCCCAAUAGCAAGCCCCAAGCCUCCAAGGUGAGAAAUGAGGUUGAGGAAGAUGCUCCAAGGCCUCUAAGCUAGCUCUCCUCCAACUCCUUCUUCUUCUCUCUCUAGAGUGAAAGUGAGGGAGAGAAAUGAGGGAGUGAGAGAGUGGAAAUGACCUUAAGGCCCUUAGAAGCAACAAAAUCUAUAUAAGUCCCUCAAAAAAACACCCUGUGCACUGCCCGGGUCUGGGCAGUUUUCGGACUGAGGGAUCGGUCUCCCCGACCUGGGACCGGUCUCUCAGCCUGCCCCGAAAAUCCAACGUUCGGGAACCGGUCUCUCCCCGCAUGGGACCGGUCUCUCCCCGCGUAAUCGUGCUCGGGGACCGGUCUCACCCCCCAGGGACCGGUUGCCUCAAGUCUUGCCGCAGCACUGUUCUGAGAGGACCGGUCUCUCGAAUCACGAACGGUCCUCGAGAGUGAAAACUUUCAGGACUUGCCAAAACUCUAAAGAUUGAACUUUUAGGCCGGAAUUCCAUCUACGACCUUCCACUAAGUGUGGAAAAGUUCGGAAUACAACCAAACACUCGAACCUUGCAAUUUGCAAAGGUCCAGUGUGCUAUAUUUUUCCACCCUUUGAACGACUACUAUUCCACCUGGUCCCACUAAACCACAAGCAUGGAAGAGCUAAAAAGGUUGGAAACAAGCAAAUAGUGAUACUUUUAUAAAGUAUCCUAGCAUAUAUAUAUAGGCUAAUGCUACUAUCCUAUUAAUAGGAUAGGAGCACUUGUCCUAUCAAGUUGUUCUUGAUGAUUGAGAUUCCGAAUUAAUGAUCGGAGCCAUUGAAGUUGAUCUAGAGUAUUUGAAAUAUCUAGAAACUAAAUUUCAUAAAUUUUGAUAAUGGUUUACAUGGUGAUCAAAGUGUCGUAAAAUUGACAAUUUUUGAUGGCCUAUAUGAGCCGUUUGCUUGUUUAACGGUGUAGAGCAAUCCAAAUUACUUGAAUUUUUGAUAGAAAAUUUUUUAUACUAUUUAGAUAAAGUUUGAUAACUCUGAUUACGAACUGAGAAAGUCUAACCUCUAUUUUAAGAAGGUUAUUCAUUUAUGACCGUUCAUUUUUCAACUCUUAAGAUGAACUUGAUAAUGAUUUUUAAAUANGCUACCAAGUUUUUGGCAAUUGGAAUAAGAGAUGUGCGGUUAGGAUGCAUGAUGUGGGCCUCCUGAGGUUGAGUCGGUGGUUGGUUGAAUAGUAUGAUCUAACGAGUGAAAAUGAUCAAAAAGGUAGAUCUAAUGGCGGAAAACUUGGUAGCACCAAGUGCUUCGUGCUAUUAAUAGCAUAGUAGCCGGACUCAUAUAUAGAACUAGGCUACUAUGCUAUUAAUAGCACAAAGUCAUUGGUGUUACCAAGUUUUUGGCCAUUGGAAUAAGAGAUGUGCGGUUAGGAUGAUAUGGGCCCCCUAGGGUUGAGUGGGUGGUUGGUUGAAUAGUCUGAUCUAACGGGUGAAAAUGAUCAAAUGGGUAGAUCUAAUGGUGGAAAACUUGGUAGCACCAAGUGCGUCGUACUAUUAAUAGCAUAGUAGCCGGACUCUAUAUAUAUAUAUAUAUGAGCUAGGCUGGUAUACUAUCGGUAGCACGAAGGCCUCCAUGCUAUAAAAUUAUUUUUAAUGAUGUGACUUCCAAAUCGAUUAUCAGCUCCGUUAAACUGGAUCUACACUAUUGACAGUAUUUGGACACUAAAUUUCAUAGUUUUUUUACAUCAUUUACCUAUCAAACUUGUAGUUUAAAAAUAAACAGCUAAAAAUAAAAAUCUAAAAAAUGAUAAUAAAAGACUUGAAUUUAAGACCAAAAGUAAUGAUCUUAUUCUAAAUAGUGAAAAAAAUUUUCUAUAAAAAUUUCAUCAGAUUUGAAUUAUUUUACACCGUUAAAUUCACAAACGCAUCACAUCAAUCAAUAAAAUUAUCAAUUUUGAGACCUUUUGAUCAAUAGCCAAAUAAUGUUGAAAAAUUAUGAAAUUUAGUUUCGAGAUACUUUCAAUAGUGUAGAUUAAGUCUAACGGAGCCGAUUGUCGAUUUGGAAGUCACAUCAUUGAAAACAACUUGGUAGCACGGAGGCCUCCGUACUACCGAUAGUAUACCAGCCUCUCUCUCUCUCUCUCUCUCUCUCUCUCUCUAUAUAUAUAUAUAUAUAUAUAUAUAUAUAUAUAUAUAUAUAUAUAUAGUUGAACUGGAAUACUAUCGGUAGUAAACGGGCUCUAUUGCCAUCCAUUUGUUUUCGAUAAUGGAGCCUCCAAAUUGACCAUCGGCACCGUUGUAAAUGAUCUAUACCACUUGAAAUAUCUAGAAAUCAAAUUUUAUGCUUUUUCGAUAUUAUUCUCUUGUCUAUCAAGUGAGCAUAAAAAUAAACGGCUGAAAAUGAAUAUCCUCUAAAAAGUGAUUGUAGGAAUUUCGUAAUCAAGAUCGAGAGUAUAGAUCUUGUUCUAAAUAGUUUAAAGAAUUUUCUAACCAAAAUUCAGUUGAUUUGGAUAGCUUUACACUGUUAAACGAGAAAACGCCUCAUAUCUACCAUUAAAAUUACAAAUUUUGAAACCCUUUGAUCAUUAGGUCCAUGAUGUCGAAAAGAUUUGAACUUUGGUUUCUAGAUACCUCGAGUGGUAUAGAUCAUGUUCAACAGUGCCGAUCGUCGAUUUAAAGGCUCCAUCAUUGAAAACAAAUGGGUGGUAACAAAGCCCGUUUGUCAUCGAUAACAUUCCAGGUCAACUCUCUCUCUCUAUAUAUAUGGCUAGAUUACAGAAAACCCCCCCUGUCAAAACCCAAUUUUUCACUUUCUCUCCCUGUCAUUUAAAAACCUACACUUUGCCCUCUUAUAAAAUAAAAAAUGUGCACUUCACUCUCUACUGUUAGUGAUCCUUUAGGGUUCAGUUAUAAAAUUUUUUUAUGCUAAAAAUACCCCUUCGCUCUCUUCCCUGUUGUUUUGCUUUCCGCCCCCUCGCCGCCUCGCCCUCCUCCACUGCCUCGCCCUCCCCCUUCCCCUUGUCCACAUCUCCGUCUAUGCCCACAAACACCCCUUCGCCCUUUUCCGCCGCCUCGCCUUCGCCCUUGUUGCCCUUGCCUACCUCUCCAUCCAGGCCCACCUCGAUUUUCUCCCUACUGUUGCCGAAAUCGAGGGGCGGCGAGGGUGCAGGAGGAGAAGGAGAGCAGGUAGAGAAGAAAAUGGAGAGAAACUGCGGUUGAUCGAGGCGUGAACCGUGGUCGAUCGAGGCUGCGGUUGAGGAAGAUGAGGGGGGAGACGAAAAUGGUGAUGGGCAAAAUGGUCAUUUUAUCAUCACAGUACACACCGUACCCCCCCCUGUGAAUAUUUUUCAUUUUACAAGGAUGCAAAGUGUAGGUUUUUAAAUGACGGGAAGAAAGUGAAAAAUCGGAUUUUGACAGGGGGUUUUAUGUAAUUUAGCCUAUAUAUAUAUAUAUAUAUAGAGAGAGAGAGAGAGAGAAGGAGAAAGAGAGAGUCCGGCUACUAUACUAUCGAUAGUACCAAGCCAUUGGUAUUAUUGAGUUUUCUACUGUUAGAUCUACCCUUUGAUCAUUUCCACCCGUUAGAUUAUACUAUUAAACCAACCACCCACUCAACCCUAGGAGACUACUAUCAAUUUAACCGGGGACCAAUAUCAUCCUAACCGCACGUCCUUUUAUCCAACGGCCGAAAACUUAAUAGUAUCAAGGGCCUGAUACGAUUGAUAGUAUAGUAGCAUAAUUCUAUAUAUAUAUAUAGGGGCAAUUGCUUAUAUACCCCUGAAAAGUUUCCGACUUUCUGAUUUACCCCUCUUAGAAGGCUAAUAUUGAAAAUAUCCCUCCUACGUUCCAACAUAUUUCUAAUAUACCCUUAGAGUUAAAAUCUAUUAAGUAACUCUGUUAUCUCUAUAAAAUUACUAUUUUGCCCUUUCAAAUACACCCUUCUACCAUCAUUGUCUUUCUUAUUUGCGCUUAAAGUCAGGGGCACAAAAAGUGUUUUAACUUUUGGUCUCUUCCAAUAUACCCCCCUACCGUCACGAACGUUUCUUAUUUGCCCUUAAGUUGAGGACAAAAUUGGCAUUUUACUUUUUUUUAACUAUGGUAGAUAUUUAACUCACGUUUAACCCAGGUUAACUUAACAGGAGAUAACUACGGGGGUAUUUUGCAAUAACGGUGGAACAUAUGAGUGGUAUUUUAGAAAGAAAAAAAAAAGUAGGGUAAAUCGGAUAUUUCCAAACGUAUGAGGGGUAUAUAGGCAAUUAUCCCAUAUAUAUAUAUAUAUGUACGUAUAUAUGCAUAUGCAUAUAUAUAUAUGUACGUAUGUAUAUAUAUGUAUGUGUGUAUAUAUAUAUAUUUAUAGGUAUAUGUAUAUAUAGAGCCUGGCUACUAUGCUACAAUAGCACCAAGCAGUUGGUACUACAAAGUUUUCCGCCGUUAAAUCUAUCCUUUUGACUAUUUCCACCCAUUAGAUCAUACUAAUCAACCACCUAUUCAACCCUAGGUCCACUAUUAUUCUAACCGCACAUCCAUUCAUCCAAGAGCCCAAAACCUAAUAGCACCAAUGACUUGGUGCUAUUAAUAGUAUAGUAGCUUAGUUCUGUAUAUAUAUGUCUAUAUAUAUGUAUGCAUACAUACAUACAUACACAUAUAAAUAUAUAUAUUAAUAGCGAUAAUUGCCUAUAUACCCCUCAUACGCUCAGAUAUAUCCGAUCUACCCCUGUUUUUUUUUUUCUUUCUAAAAUGCCUCUCAUAUGUUCCACCGUUAUUCUAAAAUACNNNNNNNNNNNNNNUCUAGAGAGAGAGAGAGAGAGAGAGAGAGAUCGACUGGGCUACUAUCGGUAGUAAAUGGCUCGAUUUACUACCGAUUUGUUUUUAAUGAUAGAGCUUCCAAAUCGAUGAUCGGCACCUUUGAACAUGAUCUAGACCAUUUGAAUUAUGUAGAAACCAAAUUUCAUAAUUUUUUAACAUCACUAACUGAACGAUCAAAGGGUCACAAAAUCUGUAAUUUUAAUGGCUGAUAUGGUACGUUUGCUUGUUUAACAGUACAGAACAGUUCAAAUCAACUAAAUUUUUGUUAGAAAAUUUUUUAAACUAUUUAAUACAAGAUCUAGACUCUAAAUCUUAAAUACAAAAAUUAUAUCAUCACUUUUGAAAGGAUUUUCAUCUUCAGCCAUUUAUUUUUCUGUUCACCUGAUGGACUAAAGAACAAUAUCAAAAAUGCGUGAAAUUUGAUUUUCAAAUAGUUUAAAUUGUUUAGAUCAUGUUUAAUGGUGCCAAUCGUCAAUUUGGAAGCUCUAUCAUCGAAAACAAAUCAGUAGUAAAGCGAGCCGUUUACUAUCGGUAGUAUUCUAGCAAAACUCUCUCUCUCUCUCUCUCUCUAGCAAAAAAAAUCGGUAGUAAAGUGAGCCGUUUAUUAUCGAUAGAAUACCGACGGUAUUCUAGUAAAAUUUGAUUUCCAAAUAGUUUAAAUGGUUUAUAUCAUGUUUAACGGUGCCGAUCGUCAAUUUGGAAGCUCUAUCAUCGAAAACAAAUCAGUAGUAAACUAUAGUGGGAAGGAGUACGGAUCUGUAGCUGUUCGCGGUGAAGGCAAUAAAUAGGCCGAUUUGUGGUAGAUAUAGUUAUACGGCAUAGGGAGGGGCAACGUUUUCCAGGAAGGCGUCGGUUGAGAACCGUACGGAUCCGCGGUGGCAUUAAAUUUCCAGAUCAUCGGAGAGGGCAAGCGGUGGCCCCGCGGUGGAGAGUAAGAACCCUAGGCAAAUAGGGUUCCGGGACGGGGAGCAGGGAGCAAGAGAGAGAAAGAGAGAGAGAGAGAGAGAGAGAGAGAGAGAGAGAGAGAGAGAGAGAGAGGAGAAGAUUAGGCGGUCGAGUAGCGGAGAGUACAAACCCUAGGCAAAUAAUGCACACCACAAAAGGGAGAGUAGUUUCCUCAAUUUAGCUUCUAAUUAGAUAUGGUCAUAUUAGUAUUAUUAUUAUUAUUAUGUAUUCUCAAAAAUUGGCCUGUUAUUGUGUAGUCCAACAUCCUCAUUGAUUAGCAAUUGACCUUGAUUUGUCUAUGCUUAAUUAAUUAAUGAAUAAAAAGAUGCCUCCCCAAGUCUAAGUUUCGAUCAUUAAAAGUAGAAUUAGUUACAUGAGAGGUGUAAAGUUAAAACAAAAGAAACACUAAUGAUCUCAUGACACAUGAGGAAAUAUACAAAUGUUAGGUUUUUUUUUUAAAAAAAAAAACCCAUUAGUUGUUCUCCAUUAAGGACUUAAUCCUUAUAUGCAUGAGUAGAAUUAUUGUAAUGACCACCAUUAAAGAUCAUAUUGGAGCUCCCAUUUAUUGUGUAAUAAUAAUUAUUAUUAGGCAAAAAUGUAUAAAGAACCCCCUUAACUUAAUGUAACAUUGAAAUGGCCUCUUCAACUUUAUUAUUUUUUUUUUUCCAUUGAUCGACUUUUUACUUUUUGAAAUUAGGCAAUUUCAGUUGAAUGAAUAAGAAUUAGAAUAUAAUGGCUUUCCCUAAAAUCAUCUUCAUAACUAUAAUCCACUUGCAAAUAAAUAAAUAUUUUUUUUAACAAUUAUCAGGAUAUUCCAUAUCCAUUUGAGGUGUUUAAUUUGUUCCCAUGCAAGUGGGAAAGGUCAUUUUAGGGAAAGCCACUAUAAUUUGUUUUUUUAAAAAAAAUAGUGUAGAAAAAGUUGUGAUACUUUUAAUAUUAAAUUAAUUUUUGUAAUUGUGAAUCAAACCUAAUAAGGGACUUCAUAGGAGCAAAGAUAUUUACGCCUUUUACUAUUUUUUUUUUCUGCUUUUAUACAAAGAAAAUAAUAUGAUUUUUAAAUUGCAUCAAAAGUAUCCCGUUGAAACGAAAGUUUCCUUAAAUAUUAGAUGUGCCUCGAAAUUUAAUUAUCGAGUUUUAUUUUAUGUCCCGAUUCGUCAAAAGUUUCACGAUGCAACAAAUUUUGGAAAACGGUUUAUAAAGAAAAAAGGAAAAAUCUGUGUGGAAGCAGAGGGCUCGACCCAAUAGGAUUGGAUCAGAUGCGAAGAAAUUUGUUAAAAAAAAAAAUUCUUUUUAUCCUAGAAGCGUUACAGUGUAUUAUACUUUCUACAAUAUUAUACUUUUUUCGUAUAGUGAAGUUCUCUCCUGCUUCGUUCAUAACUUUCUUUUUUAACCGACCAUCCCUAGAGCAAGUGACAAAGGGCUUGGUGGUUGGUAUCCGAGACCCAAGUUCGAAUCCUAGUUGAUUCACAUUUCCAGCUAAGUUUAUUUCUAAAUGAAAGAAACGAAGCGGGUAGCGUGCUACCGAUCUCUCAAAAAAAAAAAAAAAAAAUUUCAUGUAAAUCUUUGUAUCCUAUCUUCUUAUAUGUACUGCUUGUGGUUUGUCUAUUUUAUUAUUGCCAUUUUUCAUUUCUAUUUAUGUACUCUUCAUCGUAACAUUAAAGAUAAAUACUAUAACGAACUUACUUGGUUAAUUCCCAAUUUAUUUUAUGGCUAUUUUUAAUUGUUUUCUAUCAAAUCAAUCUUUGGUAUCACAUGAUACUAUUAACCACUCCGAAAACGCCUCAUUUAUCCUCUUUUUAGUGCAUAUAUAAUUAUAUAUAGUUCGUUUGAUCACCAUAAUAUGCACAAUCGAAAAUAUAUUUAUGAGACAUUUUUUAAUAGAUUAAUUUUCUAGAACAAAUUAUAUAGAUGUUCUAACAUAUAAUUAAGCAAUUUAAAUGACUAGCAGUUUAAUUAGAGUGUUCAAAGCAUUAAUUUCUCUUGUCGGUUUAUUAGUAGGGCAAUAGCGUUAUGACAAAAGCCAACAACUUAACUCUAAGUCAUCACAGUAUGAAAGCAUCAAAGAGAAUCAUGCAAGAUGUAGAAAAAAUAUAUACAAUUAAUAAAGCAUAUAUAUAUAUAGAUAAUAAUUUACAUAAUUUGUCGACGGACCUAUAUAAAUCUACCGACUAAGACAGAUUGGAACUUUUAUUAUCAUCGAAAGUGAAGUACAAAAGGUGCCUCUUUUUAGAAUAUCUAAAUUGAAAAUACACUCAAGGCAACAAAAAUCCACGAAAUAAGAAUUUCAUUUAUAUAACUAGCUGAAUUCUAAUAACAUUAUAAUAGUUUCGAUUUUAGACUAGAAAUAAUUUGAGCAUCACUCAAAUCAAAUAGAGAAAACUAGCCGGUUAGUUGUAUAUAUGUCGUUGCAUAUAUGGUAUUGCAAUUCAUCCGUGAUAAUUACUAUGAAAAUCCUAAUAUAGAGCCUUGGAGUGUUGUAUUUGAGUUCAACCACGUACUAUAGUUGAAACUGUAUCCAAAUUAGCUACAGCUUCAGCCUCAAGAGCUAGAGCUGGCAAAUAAUUCGUUCAUCUAAUUUAAAGAGAAAAAAAAGACGUACAUCUUCACGCUAACAAAAGCAGAAUUGAAGAUAAAUGCAAUGUCUACAACUCAAAAGGGUGUUAAGUCCUGCUAGCUACAACCCUUCAUUAGUAGGGCUAAGCCAACUCAUUUUAGUAUAAUGCACAAAACAGUUUUUCUUUUAAUUUUUAGAGUAAGGCAGUAUGCUUGGUGUUAUUAAUUUUUUCAUUAUUAAAUCUAUUAUUUUGACUAUAUAUUUUUAUUUCUUAUAGAUUAUACUAUUUGUCAGUUAUCAAUAAAUUCUAAGAAAAAAUAUUAUUAUUUUAACCACAUAAUUUUUUAUCUUUUUUUUUGAGAGAGAUAGGUAGCAUACACGCUACCCACUUCGUUUACUUCAUUUAAAAAUAAACUUAGCUGGAAAUGUGAAUCAACUAAGAUUCGAACUUGGAUCUCGAAUACCAAUCAUCAAAUUCUUUGUUACUUGCUCCAGAAACGAUCGGCUAUAAUACAGAAUUUUGAAUAUAAACUAUAUUAUUCUAGAUUUAUCCAAUUACCAAACAGUACUUUAGGAUCAUGAAUGACUUCGUGCUCCUGUAAUAAAUGUAACAAACAUAUGUGUUAAAAAAAUAAAACACAAAUGUUGUCGGAGAUCUCCACCUUUUUGACGUGCAGGAUACUAGUGGGCCCUACUUGGAUGAUGUGACGUCAUCAUUGGGGCUUUGACCAACAACAAAGUGUCGGCACGAGAGCAUGAAGAGGAGAGAGAGCGAGAGAGUGCGUGUAGAGCGAGAAAGAGAGGAUGCAAAUAAAAAUAGUAAUAAUAAUAAUAAUAAUAAUAAAGAGAAUCUCACACUAACCUUUUUACUGGAUCGUGUUAAUGGAGAAAAUAUAAUUAUAAUUUGCUUCCACUACAUGUGAAAACUACGUACUAACGACUUCUCCUUUUCUUUUUUUUUUCUUUUUUUUUUAUUUUAUUUGUGAUCGAAGGGCUAGUAUUCUAUGUUUUAGAGGCUUUUUUUAAUUAUUUACUACAACUUCUACGUAUAUACUUACUUUAUUGUAUGUAUCUGCUGCGAGCCGAAAUUCGUACCCCUUAAUCCGAUCAAGGAUUUUUCUAGAGAAGGGUGCAGAAAUGUGAAACGGCUACACGUGAAGGGAUAUGCGGUUAGAAUGAUAUUGGUCUCCGGCUAGGAUGAUAGUAAUCCCCUAGGAUUGAGUGGAUGGUUAGUUGAAUAUUAUAAUCUGACAGGUGAAAAUGGUCAAAAGGAUAGUCUAACGCCCGAAAACUUAUAAGUACAAAAGGAUCUAUACUCUUUAAGAGUAUAGUAACUGGAUUCUGUAUAUAUAUAUAUAUAUAUAUAUAUAUAUAUAUAUAUAUAUAUAUAUAUAGUCCGGCUGGAAUACUAUCGAUAGCACCAAGGACUUGAUGCUAUCGAGUUUUUCACCGCUAGAUUUAAUUCUUUGAUUAUUUUUAUCCGUUAGAUUAUACUAUUCAACCAACCACCCACUCAACCUUAGGGGACCCACAUCAUCCUAACGGCACAUUUCUCAAUCCAAUGGCUAAAAACUAAUAGCACCAAUAGCUUGGUGCUAUUGAUAGUAUUUCAGCCUAGUUCUCUCUCUCUCUCUCUCUCUCUCUCUCUCUCUCUCUCUAUAUAUAUAUAUAUAUAUAUAUAACUUGUGUACUUCUAAAAGCGCAUGGUAGGCUCCGUGUUAUCAAAAUAUACUCAUUUUCGAUAUUGAAACUUCUGAAUCGACGAUCUGCCCCACUAGACUAGAUCUAAAGUAUUGAAAGUAUCUAGAAAAUAACUUUAAUAUUUUUUUUUGUAUCAUUUACCUAGUGAUCGCAAGAGUUCAAAAUCAACGGCCAAAAAUAACAAUAUCACAAAAACUAAUGAUAUGAUGUUAAAAUUUUAGAUAAAAAAUAUUAAUCUUGUUUUAUAUAGUAUAAAAAAAUUUUAUCAAAAUUUCAUAAGAUUUGAAUAUUUCUAUACUAUUAAAUUUCUAAAUUACCAACCACGACCAUUAAAGUUGUUAAUUUUAGACCCCCCUCAUUCACAAGUUAAACGAUAUCAAUUCUAGGCAUUUCAAAUAUUCUAGAUCAAGUAUGACGGAACUGACCAUCAAUCCAGAAGUCCUAUCAUCAAAAAUGACUUGAUAGCAUGGACGACGUCUUCAUGCUUUAAAAGCACUCCAUGUGAGAUCCCACGUAGUCCUAUCGGUGCCUUUGGUUCAAGUUAUCCUGACAGGAUUACAGGUAAUCCUCUCAGAAUUACUACAUUUGGUUCAUUUGGUAUGUAAUCUGGUCAAUAAUGUAACAUUACAAAUGGUGCAGGAUUACACCGAAAAUAUUACCGAGCGGGGGGGUGUAUCUCGUAUUAUUGAUGGAGAGUUAUCUUGCAUGUUAUAUAAAAUUACAAAUUUAUCCCUCCGAACCCCCAAACCCUUUUAAUACGUCAUUUUUAAAAUUUUAAUUUAAAUUUUUAAAUAGUCAAAUUUUAAAUUUUAAAUUUUAAAAAUUAAAUUUUAAUUUUAAUUUUUAAUUUUUAAUUUUUAAAUUUCAUAUUUCAUAUUUCAUAUUUAUAUUUUAAAUUUUAAAUUUUAAAUUUAUAAAUUUCAUAUUUAUAUUUUAAAUUAAAAUAUUAAAUUAUAUGUUUUUGUUCAAGUUUAAAAUUUAAAAUUUAAAAUUUAAAAUUUAAAAUUUAAAAUUUAAAAUUCAAAUUUAAAUUCAAAUUUUAAUUUAUUUAAAAUAAAAUUUAGUUAAAAAAUUAUUAUUUAUAAACAGUGAAAAUUUUUUGCUAAAUAUGACUAAGGACAAUUUUGGAAUAAAUUAUACUUCGUUGUGAGAAUUACUGAGUUCUAGAAAUUGAACCAAACAUAGUAAUGCUAUAUACACUACGAUACAAAAUUACAUUACUAUACUAUUAUUCCAAACGCGCUAAUAAAACAUCAUUAGUAAUCUCGUUUUAGAAAUCUAAGAUAACUGGAUAUGUUGAAAUAACCUGUAAUAUUAUUUAACGCGAACGAAACGCGCCCUAUAUAUAAGAUAUAAUAGAACUAAAACUCUUAAUCCGAUUAUAUUAUUUUGGAUGGUGGCUAGACCCAAGAGUUAAGAAAGUUAAGUGUGUUAGGACUAGAGUACGUCGGAUUGUUGGCGUUAACCAUUAAUCCCAAAAUCUCGAGCUGUUAGAAAUACACAACUAAUUCACUUAAAGUGUAUAGAUACCGCGCCCCCGGAUCUCGAUUGUGACUGGGCACAACCAGUCUCACGCCACUUUGAACAUGACUCAGUGCACCCAGCCUCACGUCAUUUCGAACAUGACUCAGCCCAAUAUAGCUUCCCACCAUAGGGCAGGAUGCUGGCACAUUUAAGCCAACAAUCUCCACUCUAAUACCUGCAUACAUUUGCAACAUACAACAAUCGAACCCGUGACCUCUAGCUCUGAUGCCACUUGUCGGAUCGUCGGCGCUAACCAUUAAUCCCAAAAGCUCGGGCUGUUAGAAAUACACAACCAAUUCAGUUAAAGCGUAUAGAUACAGCGUCCACGGGUCUCGAUUGUGACUCGGCACAAACAGCCUCACGCCACUUUGAAUAUGACUCGGCCCACCCAGCCUCAUACAAUUUCAAACAUGAUUCGGCCCAACAUGACCUCCCGCCACGGGGCAGGAUGCUGGCCCAUUUAAGCCAACAGAGUAGUCCUAGGAUGGUUGAUCCCCUAGAAAAUGGGGCGUUACAGUUGGUAUCACAACCAAUUACUAGCCAGGAGUGUGAGAUUACUCUCGACUGAGCCAGGUUAUACAACGGAGAUAGCGAGUUCUCAUACUGAUGACUGUUGUGGGUGGAGCACGGCUCCCCCACAAGAGCAGUUAAGGCUAGCUAGAUGAGUGAUGAGUCUCACAUCGCCUCGUACUCUUGAGUUUAAACCUGAUGAGAACUUUAGAGCUUAAAUGGGGGAGAAUGUGAGACCCCAAAUAGUCCUCUAUAUAAGAUAUAAUAUAGCUAAAACUAUUAAUUCGAUUAUAAUAUUUUAGGUGAUGACUAGAUUCAAGAAAUUAAAAGAGUUAAACGUGCUAGGACUAGAGUAAUUCUAGAAUGGGUGAUUCCUUGGGAAGUGGAGCAUAUCACACUCCAGCCUAGUGUGUGUGUGUGUGUGUGUGUGUGUGUGUGUGUGUGUAUUAAUAGUAUGUGAAUAAUAUUUACUAUUUACUUUUUGACCAUUGGAUGUAUAGGGUUUAGUGAUUGGUUAGUAGAAUAAUAAUGAUCUAAGAAUAGAAAAGUGCAUAGUAACUAUUAUUUAUAUACUAUUAAUAGUAACCAAACUUUGUAUCCAAUGUGAGACUAUGCUUUUGACAUGAGCGAGUUACUACUAGCGUGUGGCAGGGACCCAGUGCAAUCGUACAAAACAAAGCGUGCAUCCACAACUGAUAUGGCACAAUCACAAUUUAUAUAUUAGGUGCGACUACCAUAUGGCACAAACUUGUUCAAUUCACAUGUAAGGCCCGAUUAGCAUGCGGCAGGUAGACGCCACUAAAACGGAAUCACUAUACCGACUAGAAAUUAAGAGUGUAAACCAAACUCUGAUACCAUAUUAAUAGAGCUGAUCAACUACUUUUUAAAAUAUAACAUCCGUACGUAGGAUUUGAAGUAGUACUAUAUAUAAGAUAUAACAGAGCUAAACGUCUUAAAUUCGAUUAUAGUAUUUUGGACGAUAGUUAAGCUCAAAAGGUUAAAAGAGUUAAUCGUAUUAGAAUUAGAGUAGUCAUAAUAUGGGUGACCUUCUAAGUAGUGGGGCGUCAUAGUUGGUAUCAUAGUCAAUCACCAAUCGGAAGAAACGUAUGAUGAGUCUUGGCCGAACUAGGGUCAUACAGCGAGUAAAGCGUGGCCUUGUGGGUGAAGUACAGCUUCUAACAAGAUCGGUUAAGAUUAGUAAGAUAAGUGUUUCCUCAUCAGGUGCUUGUAAAUAUGUUAAGAGCUUGACGAAGACGUCAGGACUUAAAGGAAGAAGAAAUGCGACACCUAGAAUUUAGAAUAGUACCAUAUAUAAUAUAUAAUAGGGCUAAAUGUAUUAAACCUAGCUAUAGUAUUUUGAGUGGUAGUUAGGCCCAAAAGAUUAAGAAGGUUAAGCAUGCUGAAGUUAGAGUAGUCUUAGGAUAAAAUAUAGGGGAUUUAUAUAUGGACUUCUAAGAUAGUACAUUAGACUCUGUUUAUAAUUACAGACAAACUAAUUUAGUUAUUAUAUGGCUUUUGCAAAAUCACUAAAAAUAGAGAAGCACAAAUCUAAAUGCUCUCCACAUCCUUACCAAACACACUCAGGUGUUUCCUCGUGUGUUACUGUAACAGGUUUCUUGGAAAAUACAAAUUGAGAGUAGUCUUAUUCAUAAAAGAUCCUUCUAGACCCUUUCAACAAAGUCCACAUCAAAAUGCAACAUUUUCUCAAAAUUUGGGCAUUACUUAUUCAACAAUACUCUACAUGAUCAUUCCUAAUUUCUUUCUUUAUUGUCACCUCUAUCGUACACAUCUUUUGAUAUUUUUGUUUGGUAAGGAUGCCGACAGAGUUCGCAACUCCUAAAUUAUGUUUGAUUUAAGGUAAAAAUAUAUGAAAUUUAUCUGAAUUAUGAAUUAUGUGACAUUUAAAAGCUGUGAUUUUGAUACACAACUGUUUUUUUAUUUAAUUUGAAUUACUUGAUAUCUCUUUUAUUUUAGAGUUUGGAUGCAUAGUUUUAUUUUGACGGAUUAAUUUGAUUAAAAUAUCAUUUGCAAUUUUCUCCGCGGAAAUUUUUUGCAGCAUGAAAAUCAUCAAAUUAUGUGAAUCAAAGGAAGUAAAAGAUUUAGAUACCAAGAACAAAACUUUCAAAAGUUACAUCAGAUGUAUCAAAAUGUUUUGAAUAUAUAUUAAAAAAAAUUAUCUUAUGCAACUUAAAUUUUUAGAAAAUAACGGUUGUUUCACAUUAUGUAACAUGGUAUCAGAAUAAGAGAUUCUAAAUUUGAAUCCCACCUACAGCAAGAUUACAUGCAAGUAAGCAUCACACUUUUAGUAUUUGGCAGAUCAAAAGUGUGAUCAAAUAUUUAGAAUACAUCCAAACAAAGUCGUCAAAAAGCAACAAUUAAUCAAACCUCGUAUUUACAAUCAUAUGAAAAGACUCUCAUACAUACAAUAUAAAUUAUCACAGAAUAACUUAUUUCGACAUCUAAACAAAAUCACAGCUUAUUUGCUUUCUUUAUACUUAAGUUCUCAUAUAUUGAGGUAGUUAUGAAGAGAGCAUCACACUUUUUUUAGUGAUAAGAAGGUGCAUUGGUACUAAAAAGCACAAGCAAAAAAAAAAAAACUCGAUCUGUAAGUGUUUUCUAGAGGAGGGUCAUUUUCUCAUGGUGCAAAUCAACAACCAAUACACCUAAGGCUUCCUUUUGAAGAAUAAUAGAUGAUGAUCUCCAAUGAUACGUUAAUAUUAAUAACCUAAAGUCUUGUUACACCUUUUCUUUCUUUUUUCCUUUCUUUUUUUUUUUUUUUGAUUCAUCUUUAUAAUCCAUCAAUCCUACAUCUCAUGUCCUUUUCACAAGAGAUGGAUAUGUCCCCUUGUAAAACAAUGCACUUUUCUUUUCGCGGCCCCUGGGGAAAAUGUGUGGAUGGUCCCUAUCAUACUCUACUAUUGCAAUUUGGUUUUUGUGCUUUUCACGCGAUCGCCUAAAUAGCUUAGUUUAUGAAUGUUGAAGAAAACAUAAUUUUUCUUGUAGAAUGACUAAUUCAAUCUUCCACUAUCAUAAAUGAUUCACAUAAUUUUAGUUUAUUCUAUUGAGUAUAAAAUAUUGAAAGUAUUAAGUGUUAAGAUUAAGUUUUUAAAGUAAUUAAUUGUUUCAAAUGAUAUCGGAACAGCGGACUUCCUAGUGUCAUUUAACUUCUUCCUAGUUAAUUUAUGUUAACGUCUUAAGUCUAUAUAUAUAUAUAUAUAUAGAGAGAGAGAGAGAGAGAGAGAGAGAGAGUAUGUCUUCUGUAUUUUUAAAAGUACGGAGCCCUCCGUACUUAUAAAUUAUUUUCGAUGAUAGAACAUCCGAUUCAACGAUCGACUACGUUAACCAUAAUCUAUUCUAUUGGAACUACUUAGAAACCAAAUUUUAUAAUUUUUUGACAUCAUCUACCAAGUGAUCAAAAUGUCUCAAAAUUGAAUAUUUUAACGAUCGAUGUGGCACGUUGUUAAGUUUAAUAGUGUAGAACAAUUCAAAUUAUAUGAAACUUUAAUACAAAAUUUUACUUAAUAACAAGGUUAAUACUUGUGAUUUGAAAUUUGAAUCUUUUAUCAUUAUUUUUUAUGAGAUUUUUAUUUUUAGCCGCUCAUUUAGAGACUAUUCGUUCACUUGGUAAAUAAACUCAAAAAAUUAUGAAAUACAUAGUUCCAAUAACGUAGAUCAUAUCUAACAGAAUCAAUCGCCGAAUCGGAUGCAUGCCUCAUUAUUGAAAAUAACUUACAAGCACGAAGACCUCUGUACUUUCAAAAACAUAGAAGCCUAGCUCUCUCUCUCUCUCUCUCUCUCUCUCUCUAUAUAUAUAUAUAUAUCUCUCUCUCUCUCUCUCUCUCUCUCUCUCUCUCUCUCUCUCUCUCNUUUUAUUUUUAGCCGCUCAUUUUGAGAUUAUUCGUUCACUAGGUAAAUAAACUAAAAAAAUUAUGAAAUACAUAGUUCCAAUAGCGCAGAUCAUAUCUAACAGAAUCAAUCGCCGAAUCGGAUGCAUGCCUCAUUAUUGAAAACAACUUACAAGCACGAAGACCUCUGUACUUUCAAAAAUAUAGAAGCCUAGCUCUCUCUCUCUCUCUCUCUCUCUCUCUCUCUCUCUCUAUAUAUAUAUAUAUAGUCCAACUAUGGUGCUUGUAAAAGCAUCAAACACUUGGUGCUUGUAAAUUUUUUAUCGUUAGAUCUACGUCUUUGAUCAUUUUCAACCGUUAGAUUAUACUAUUCAACCAACUACCCACCCGUUUGGAUUGGAGAUAAGGGGAGGGAUAACCCCUUAUCCCCCGUUUAUACCCAAACGCUAAUUUUUUACCCGAGAAUAGUAGUUCUCGGGUACAUGAAAUAAGCUGGUAUAAUUAUCCCUACCAAUACCUCCAUUUUCUAUAUAUAGCUAUCCACUAUUUUUCUUAUUCCAUAUUAUCUAUCCAAACGUUAUUUUUUUUAUCCCCGGGAACAACCCAAUCACUCAAACGUUAUUUUUCUUAUCCCCAUACUUGUACCUAUCCCUAUAAUAGCUAGUUCUUGCUUAUACCCGAACCAAACGGUACCCUAUAAGGGGUCCACAUCAUCCUAACCACACAUUCCUUAAUCCAAUAUAUGGCCAAAAAUCUAUAAACACCAAUAUCUUGGUACUUUUAAAAGCCUCAAACUCAAAUGUUAGAGAAAGUGACUAAAAUAUUGAGGUUAUCUUAAUUUGUAUUGUUUUACAAUUUCAAACAUGCUAAAAUAUCAUUUUACGCUAUAAGUUUGCUUUUUGUUAAUUUGAUUCACAAUUUCAAACACGACUAAUUGUCAUUUUACAGCAAAAGUCUGGUUUUUUUUUAAUAGCCGGAGACUAAAAGUGCAAUAUAUGUAAAAAUUCAAGAACAAAUUGUUGAAUAUAAAGUAUUUAAACAUUAUUAGCUAAUAGUUUAAAUUUUUAAAAAAUAAUUAUUGUUUUACAUUAUUUAACAUGAUACGAGAACUAGAGAUUUUGAGUAUGAAUUCCAUAAGAUUCCUGGUUUUAUUUAAUAUCCUCCCAUGACUUGGGCUUAUUAGAAUAUCUCGAGCCAUAGCCAGAUAAAUUAAUUGUUAAAUAAUACUAAAAUAUUACUAUCGAACUUAAGCUUUUGGAGAAUAGUAAUUAUUUUACACUAAUUUAUUUAACACAAAUAUUCAAAUUGAAACUAUAUAUAGGGACUAACUAGUUGCCAUAUUUAAAUAGUAAAGGGACCAUCCAUAUAGUUUUAGCCUUUACUUUGCUCUUUUUGCCUAAAUUCUUGCCCUAGCUAGUAGUGGUCCAUAUCACACUACAAGAUCACUAUCCCCAAACAUCAUUUUAACUUCAAUAACAAGAGGAAAUUAAAAGAUCUUCUUGUUUGCACAAGCUAAUAUAUAUAUUUAUUAAUUCUCUCCACUUGCUAUCUAAGAUAUAUACUCAAUGCAUAUGAGCCUCAAACAAGGGUCAAAAGAGAAUUAAGAAUGUGCAAGACAACAAAGAUAGAAGAGUGAUAAUCAAACACUUUAUUUGCUGGUGACAACUCCUUGAUUUGGAUUUCAUAAGCUUGUGGUGAAAAUGACAUUAAUUAGUUUGGCGAAUUACGCGUCGUCGUCAUCAAAUAAUUGUUUUACAUUUGUAUUAAUUCGCUUAACGCAUGCCGACAUGGAUCGUUAUUAGCUUAGUAUGGAGAUUAAAUUGCUGAACAUAUAUAUAUAUAACCAAAAUAUAUGUAUAGUUAAUUUGUCUUGCUUCUUUUUUCUCUAGAUACUUUUGUCACUUAGUAAUUGUUUAUUUUAGUCGAUAGCAAUGCCAAAAAAAGUCAAAUAAAGCAUAUAUAUGAAGUAUAUGUAUAUUGUCCCAUGUUAGAUUUUGGUGUCGCAAAUAGAUUGUGUGUGUGUGUGUGUGUGUGUGUGUGUGUGUAUUUUGUUCAUUAAUUCUAGUGCACAAAAUUUAUAAUGUAGAUAAUAAAACUGAAAUAUUUAAUUUUCAGAGCUUUCAAAGACAUCCUUUUAUAUGCUGAAAUUUGAAGUUGCCUGUUUUUCUGUGGAUCGUUAGCGCUAUGUCGCGGACUUAUGCGAAAUUUUUUUUCGUGCCCGCAUGGCGCUCGUCUUCCUUCACGAAGUGAACAAGUCUGCCUCUCAACUUGCUAAGUUAUAACCUACUCAUCCUAAACUAAGUACAAGAAAGAGAAGAGUUUGAAAAAUGUUGUGUAUUAAUAAAAGUAGAUAUUACAACAGAUUUUCUAAGGAAAGGAAGUGGAGGCCAUAACCUUAUAUAGGUCACUACCUACGCAAGGUACAAAUAAAAAGGUGUCAAGUUGCGCAUAACUAUAAGGCAAAGAGGGAGGCUACAAGCUUCCAAAAGACUACACUUAUUGCUCUCCUAAAACUCUAAAGAAUUUUUGACCCUUCAGCAUCCGCACCAUUAGUUUUGAAACCUGCAUAGAAACUUCUAGAAUGGCCCAGCAAAACUUCCGAUAGAACUCUCCUUCGAUGUUUGGGCGAUUGCAAAGAAAAAAUCAGCGAAAAAUAUUCUGUCCGUAACAGCUAACUAACUAUCCCAAAAGUACGUGCUGAUAGAAGUGUUCAUUGCAUUUAAAGUCUUAGCGACAGUGCUCAGAGACUUCAACCUAGCUCAACCCAUUUGGACGUCAGGUCUAUUAUUGAGACUCUUACUGUUAGGUCUAUUAUGGAGCGCAACCAACUUAUUGGACUUAUUCAACUCAACUUAUUAGCCUUCUGAAUCUAGUGUCAUUGGGCAAAAAGUUGAAUCUAUUUUAACCAAUAAUAAUUGGCCAAUAUUUUCAUGGUCUAAGUAGUAUUUUCUGGACGCUAAAUUGGAUUAUGGUAGACAUUCUUGUUUGCUAGGAGAAAAAAAAAAAAAAAAAAAAAAAGAUGAGAGCAAUAUUUGGUAAAAAAUUGGUCGAUUAUGCAAAUUUUUACGGACAAUAUUUAUUACCUUUAAAAACAUUCCAAAAUGGCCUAAUUAUAAUAAUAUUAGGAGCCCUAUUGUGUAUGAUACAUGAUAUAUCAUAUAAUGCAGUGCAUGUAUUUGUGCACUAAGUCCCUGUUGGCUCUAUUUCUACUUCUGCUUUCGACAACAGUAAUUUUAAUCAACGGAUCAUUCGUCAAACACUAAAAAUCUUAGAUUUUCAUUGCAGUGCGUGGAAAGCACGAAUUCGAUCUUUAGCUCCAAAGCUAAAAUGAAUUUUUAAAAAAUACUCCAAUUUGAUCGAUUUUUUCGAUUUUGCUACAGAAAUAAGUUGGUUGGAGAGCGCUUCUCUUAAUCGCAUUAAUAUUCAUGCUAUAGGAUGACCAAAUAGACCUUUUAACUCUCUUCUUUAAUUUACAGUGAAAUAUAUGGAGUGCAAAUGGCGCAAAAUUAAGUACUUAAGGGCCUAACUAGAACAAGAAUCAAAAUAAUUGAUUCACUCUUUUGUUGUUUGAUUAGGGACCCAAAUUAAGAGCCGAUUCGCGAAUGAGCUAGUUCGUGAUAAAUGGUUAGCUGCGAAAGAAACAUAUGUGAACUACUAUGCGUUUUGGGACGAAAAAUUAAAGUAUGAAAGUUUUAAUUGUGGUAUCUGAACUUUUAAUUUACUUGAUUCGAACCAUAUAAUUUAUGGUGUUUCUAUUACAAAAUUCGAUCCCACUGCUCGAUUUAACAGGAAUACAGUCACAUGAAUCACGCGAGCUGUCAAAUAACUCUAAAUUAAAAUAUUAGCUAGUGAAAUCAAAACUUUUGAGAGUCGAUAUGCGUUUCAAAAUAGGUUACAGUUCAGAUAAGUUUUACAGUAAUUCACCUAAUAAUUAGACUAGUUUGAUGAUAUUAUUCUAGGUUUUGGGUAACUCCACAUCCACUCAAUGGAUGCAUUAUAUUUCCAGGAUUUGGCCCACUUCAAAAUUAGAUCAAUUAUUUGUAGGAUCAUAAAGAGGAUUGGGGUUCUUAUUUUUCACUCCAAUCAAAUCCGUGUGGCCCGAAUAGUAAAAGCCCAUUACAGCCCAAUUAUAUUCUCUGUUUGGCAUUGCGGGAAGAAUCCGUUACCUACGGUGAGAAAUCACAAUGCGCAAAUUUUAUAUUUAUUUUUCAUAAAAGAUGCGACAUUGUUUAAAUCGCAAUAUUUCUUGUACAAUAUAAUUUCUGCAGCCCCACUUGAGAGGAGUGAAGCCUAUUUUUAGAUUCACUACAUGGUCUUGCAUUCUAACUUCUUUUGGCCCAAUAGCGUUCGAUAACUCGACUGGGGAAUUUUGUUUAAGCCCCACCCAUUUGCAAAUUAGACCCAUAAAUUUGGACCUUGGUUAAAAUGUGGUCCAAGAACUAUGUAAGGCCAAUCCAUUAAGUCAUUGUUGUUAUUAUUAUUAUUAUUAUUAUUAUUAUUAUUAUUGGAGAAACUUUAAUUUACCACCUUGUGUUGAUUUACCCUAUUUUUACUUUACCAUUCUAUAAUUUCAUAAAAUAUUAUUUCACCAUCAUGUGGUUUUCUUUUUGUAUCACUAUAAAAACUUCCCUUGAGUGGGUACGAAAAAAACUAUAUUUUAUAAAUUAUAGGAUAAUAGAGUGACAGGUUUUAUAAACCACAAUGUGGCAACACCAAGUACUCCACUUUCUAUUAGAGGCUGCUUGGUUCUUCGAAAAAGCGUAAAUAAAAAAAAAUUCAAGAAAAAAAGUUUUCUAUGGAAAACUUAUUUUUCAAUUUUCCGUCCGUUGGUCAUAAGAAAAACGAGUUUAUUUUGAAGAGUUUCUUUCCAAAUUUUAUGAAAAACUAGCAUCUUCCUUUUCCUGAAAAAAUUAAAAAUAUAUAUAUAUUAAUUUGCCACGAAAUUUGGAAAAUAAAUUUAAAAAAAAACUAGUUUUUCUUAAAAUCAAACGAACGGAAAACUGAAAUAGAGGUUUUCCAUGAAAAACUUUUUGUCUCGAAAAACUUUUUUUUACGCUUUUCUGACAAAUCAAACACCGCCAUCCUAUGACUUGUAAAAUGAAUCACUUUAUAACUAUUCCAUUUAAUGACAGGUCCUUAUGGUAAAAGAAAACCAAAUAUAAAAAUUUUAAAGUCACAUAAUGGCAAAAUAAAAAUGUAUUAAACCCUAAGGGAUCUGAUUGAUGUUUACCAUUUUUUAUCAAAAUAAAAUUUUUCAUAAGAUUUGGAACUUGUAUCACAGAUUGAAUCUGGCCCAAAAGAAUUACCUGAGAGCCCAAUAAGUGAUCGACGAUCGAAUGUAUAUCCAUUUGUUAAAGUGAGGAUCGAAUAUACGACCUCACAAAAUAAAGAGAUAUAAAAUUAAUCUAAUAGGAAUCGGACCCAGGAUUAUAUUGAAUAAUAGUAGGUUUUGCGUGAAUCUCCGUCGAUCGAUUAGCGUAAUUAGGUAAUAACAAUCUAAGAGGGUUUAAUCAUGAGAUUUACUGGACACCUUCAAAGGAAAGAGAUGUAGCAUCAUGAAAGCUUCACACAUAAUCCAAAGCUAAAGCAAAAACAUGUAGCUACUUGUUUAAUGAAUCCAUAUGAAUCCAUUUUGGCGACUAUUAGUGGUAGUAUAUUGAAAACAAUUGAAAGCAGCAGUUUGAAUUCGCCAGUCGUAUGUAUAUGCAAUUGAAGUGUCAAAUUUGCCAAUUAUUAAUAUAAAGGUUAUGGUAAUUUGAGUGAUAAACCAAACACAAAGAUAUAGGAUAUAGUGUUUGGGGGGUCUUGGGUUCGAUACUAAUAACGCUAGUAUAAAAUACUCAAGGCCAGUUAUAAACUCCCCCAGUGGAAUUUUAAUUGAAGAAUUACACUACUUAUAGCCUAAUACUACUAACAAAAUUUGUUCAAAAUGCUUAAGCUCGGUUAUAGACUCCCACUCUGUGACACCUUGCUUUUCAGAAUGGUCUAGUCUUAACAUGCUUAACUCUCUUGAACUCUUGGGCUUAGUUUGGUAACCACCACUUAACUCAUUCUAGUUAUACUUUUGCCUAGGUCAACUUGUUAACGCUACGUAGGUGGGGAGACAACCAUGGGGCAACCCUGUACAUAUGCAGAUUUGUUGACGCUUUCGAAGAAAUGUUUGCUGCAAUUCGGGACGAUUGACGCUUUCAAAGAAAUUUUUGCUGCAAUCUAGGACAUGACACACCAAGUUUAGACCCUGACUUUGCAAGGCGAUAUGAGAUUCUUUUCACAUUUCUAACUAGUAAAUUGACUUUGAUACUAAAUGUAACAACCAAGUCUAUUAGCAUUGGGCUCAAACCAUCGAUUCAAAAUGCUUAAACACAAUCUAGUUAUUAGUAUUAGAGUUUAUGAUCUUUAUAUUUUCAAUCAUAACUCAUUUUUUAUUCGACGUGGGACUGGCGAAAUGAUAAACUAUUUUUACUGUCGGAGACGAAUCUAUUUAUAGUAUAAGGAGAUUCAACUACAGUAAUAGAAGCUUUGCCUAAAUUGAUCGCACUCCAUACUACAGCAAUUAGAGUCGCAGAGAGUAAUUUUUUUUAUUUUCUUUUUCUUUUUAACAUCGGGAGUAAUCUAAUCACGUUAUAUAUAAAGUGGUAAAAUUUUGAAAAAUAUAUACAAUCCCCAACUGCAUGCAACUAAUCAAAUUUCUUGUAGUUGAUGUGCUCUCUACUACACCAAGAGAAGGAAGAUGCAUCUAAUUAUAACUUAUAACUGCUACAUUUUUGUAUCGCCGACCAUACUGUUUUUAUAGUUACGUCCAAACUACUCAGAUAUACGAAAAAAAAAAGAAAAUAUGUGACAUACAGAUAUAUUCAAAAUAAAAAAAUAAAUAAAUCCAAAGGACAAAGAAAAAGAAAAAAAAAAUCUGCAGUGGCACAACCAUGAGCUGAUCACAUCUCUCGCCAUCAUCUUUGUUUCUUAUUUUCAAAAAGAAUUUGGUGGCCAACCUCACCACAAUGACUACUCCACAGAUACAGUGAGCUAAUCAUGAGAUAGGAUCUCAUUAUCUUAAUACCUUUCAUGAAAGCUUCAUUUGUAACCCAAGUGAAAGUACGUACAUACAAAUAUAUAUAUAUAUAUAUAGAUGGUGUUACAUUAAAAAAAAUGAAAAUAAAAACAAAAAGGAGAGAUAGAGAGAGUAAAUAAUGAGUGGUAGAAGCUCUUAUAUGAAAAGAGUAAGCUUUUGCAAAAGAGAAUGGUAGCUCUGAUAUGAAAAGAGUGACUGAGGUAAAUAAUGAAUCGGAUCGAGUUCCAAUCGAACAGAAGUGGCAAUAUGCGAUCUUAUCGACUAACCUAAUUAACUUAGCAUUUUUCUUUAUCAUAUUUCAAAACAUAAUGCAUUAAAUCUAAAUUUUUAAAUAUAACAUUAAAUAUAUGUAUAUAUUAUAUAAUAUAAAAUCAAUUCUAGAGGUUCGUGUCCAAUUCGGGUCGGGGGUACAGACAAAAUCCAUACCCGAAUCUCAAUCUGUAGGGUUUUCAUUUUUUAUAUCCGUAUUUGAAACUAUAUUCGUUUACUAUCAAAUAAAACUGUCCUAUUCGGAUUCAUAUUUGGAUAAAAUUUCAGAUAUUUGCACCCAUUGACAUCCGUAGCCGGAAACUGCUACACAAAAAACCACCUCCUAUACUUUGACUGUUUCUCUGAUCAUUUUUUACCUUAUAUAUAGGAGCUAAUUUGGUUCAUCAGAAAAGUGCGAAUAAAAAAAAUCAAGAAAAAAAUUUCAUAAAAAAUUUCAUUUUUUGAUUUCAUUUUUAAGAAAAAUGAUGAAAACACAAAUUUUCAUAAAAUAUGGGGGGAAAUAAUUCAUGAAAGCUUAUUCUCUUGGAACCAAACUGACAGAAAACUAGAAAAAAAAAUAAUAUUUCAUAAAAACUUUUUUACUUGAAAAUUUUUUUUCCAUAUUUUUUUUGAAAAACCAAAUAGUCUCUUAAUAAUAUUAAAAAAAAAUAACAAAAAAUAAUAAUAAUAAAUUUAAAUAAUGUGGCGGGAACGGUUAGGCCAACGGCUAGUCACGCAUGCAACACCUACACUUGGGGCCGACGCAAAGCAGUUAGAUUCUUGGUCACCAUCCCAACCCCAACCAUUCCUUUCCCUUCAAUUCAAAUCGAUCCCCCAAAACCCCCCCCUAUUCACUUCAAUUUUUAUCAUCAUCUCUUAUAAACAGUUUCCAAUCCAAUUCCCAGUGACCCACAAACCCCAAAAAUUAAGGUGCCCAUGUCGGCGGCGGACGGAAUCGGAGACAUGCAAGGCGGCGGCGGCGGCCUUUUGAUGCGCGCGGCGGCGAGGGCGGCGCGAGCACGGUGGUUCGGGUUCCUGCGGCGGGCCUACGUCUACCAGAACGGGCCGCGGUCGGACGUGCUGGCGGCGUCGAACCCCUUCAACUCCCCCUUCUGGCUGGCCGCCGAGCUGGCGGCCGCCGUCGCGCAGGUCGGCGUCAUCGCGGCCGUGCUGGCGGCCGCGCGGAACGAGAGGCCGCUUUGGCCCGUCAGGCUCUGGGUCGGCGCCUACGCCCUCGCCAACCUUCUCAGCCUCCCUCUCAUAUAUUGGCGGCGCCACCACUCCGCCGCCCCCGCCCCUGUGGAUAUUGAACACCAAGGAAGCAAUGAGGAAGCAGUGUUCAGGUACCUGCGGUCUCAAAUAUUUGAUUCAAAUUUUAAACUUUAAAUAUUAAAUUUGACCUAGACUGGCGUAACACGGAGGGCUUUCGUACUAACAUGUUGUUUUCAAUAAUGCGGCUUUCAAAUUUACAACCGGCUCUAUUAGAUUUGAUCUAUAUUAUUAAAAGUAGUAAAAAAAUUAAAUUUCAUAAUUUUCCGACAUUAUUUGACUAGUAAUCAAAAAGCCUCAAAAUUGAUAAUUUUAAGUAAUGCAUUUGUAUAUUUAAUGGUGUAAAAUAAUUCAAAUCUGAUGAAAAUUUUUAUAAAUUUUUUUUUUACUAUUUAGAGUAAGAUUAGUAUCUCUGAUUUUAAAUUCAAAUCUUCUAUUAUUAUUUUUUAUAAAAUUUUUAUUUUCAGCCGCUUAUUUUGAGACGACUAGGUAAACGGUAUCGAAAAAUUAUAAAAUUUAGUUUCUAAAUACUUUCAAUAGUGUAGAUCAAAUCUAACAAAGUCGAUUGUCAAUUUGGAAAACGCAUUAUUAAAAAUAACUUAAUAGCACAAAGGCCUCCGUGCUAUCGAUAGUAUACCAGCUGAACUCAUUAAAUUUUAAAUUUUAAGUUUCGUCGCACUAUCAUUUUGAUUGUAACAAUAUAGUACCUUUACAUUUUAUUGAGGUGAGUAGCUAGCAUGUCCUUUCUUUUAGGGUUUAGGUAUCUUCAUCAUGGAAAAAAAAUUUAUUGAAAUUACGAAGACGGAACGAAAAGUUAGUUAAUCUUUAAUAGAGAUUUAUGCUUUUUUUAUGAUUGCAAUAAAAUUAUAUUACCUGAGUUUGAGAAAGUACGAUAAAAAAAAAAAUAUUCAAUUUGCUUUAGUAAGUAAGACAUUACACUUAGGGGUGGAACUCGGCCCUUGCCUAAACAAGGCCCGGCCCGAUGGGCCAUGUUUGGGCCGGGCUUUGGAUAUUAUAAAUACAACUUUGGGUUCGGGCCGGGUUUAAAAAUUUAGGCCCGAAAAAAAUUUGGGCCUAUUUGGGCAUGUCCAAGCCCGACCCGAGCCCGACCCAAAAGCCCGAUAUAUUAAUUGUCAAAAUAAAAUAUUUAAUUAUAUAUAUUAUUUAUCUAUAGUAUAUCAUAUAUAGUAUAUAUUGUUAUUAAUGAUAUGUACUUAUAUAUAUGAGGAUAUAUUAUAUAUUAACAAAAUAUUUGGUUCUAUAUAAUGAUAUAUUUGAUGUUAGAUAUUAAUUUCUUUGAUGUGAUAAAACUAAAAAUAGGUAUUUUAUUUUAAUUUUAUACAAAUAAAAGUAUUUAUGUAUUAUAUGAUAAAUACAUAAAAUGAGCCUCCACAAAGCCCGAUGGGUAUUGGGCAUUGGGCUUGGGCUUGGGCCGGGCCUUAAUUUUUUAAAAAAUUGGGUAAAAGCCCGACCCGAAGCCCAAUAUUUUUUUUGGGCCAGGCUUGGGCAUAGUAAUACCCGACCCAAGCCCGGCCCAGUUCCACCCCUAAUUACACUGCACCUGUCAUAACGAGUCAAGUAAAAUAUCAUUUUCAUAAUUCAAUCAAAAUACAGAAACAUAUAUAUAUAUAUAUAUAUAUAUAUAUAUAUAUAUAUAUAUAUAUAUAUAUAUAUAUAUAUGUAUAUGUUUACGCCCAUGUUUCUCCUUAUUUUCAACGUAAUGUUAAACAAUUAUGGACAUAGUUAAUUCGGAUUCGGCAAAAAUUCGAUACGAGUAUAAUACGCAUAAAAUUCGUUUUCUAAUUUUUAAAUUCGUUGAAAAAUUCGGCUUAAAAACCGGAUUCGGUAUAAAAUAUAAAAUAUAAAAUAUAAAAUAUAAAAUAAUCUAUAUUUAAAUAUAAAAAUUAUAGAUUUUUUAUUCAGAUUUUCAAUAAUUCGCGAAUAAUUCGGGCAUGUAUAUAGCAACAAAAAUUCAAUAUUUUUCCUAUUUUUUGCUUUUUUUUUUUUUUUACGUUCAAAUAAACACACUCUACUAGAGACGGCUCCUGAAAGUGUCAGGGCAUGUAUAUACACAGGGGAUCUUCGUCGUACCUCGUAAACAAGUUGCGGACGUUCCUCGAGCUGUUCACGGCGGUGUGGUUCGUCAUGGGCAACGUGUGGGUGUUCGACGCCCGCUACACCGCCUCCGCCUCGUCCUCGUCCUCGUUGCACCUCGGCGGUGCCCCGAUGCUCCACGCCCUCUGCGUCGCCCUCCUCGCCUACAACGCCGUCCUCUACUCCUUCCCCUUGCUGCUGUUUCUGCUGCUGUGCUGCGUCGUGCCGUUCGUUAGUAGCGCCGUCGGAUUCAACAUGAGCUCCGCGGCGGCGUCCGCGGCCCGCGGCGCCUCCGACGAGCAGCUGGAGCAGCUACCAAAGUGGCGGUUCAAAGCAGCUAAUCCUGGGGGUGAUCCUGGGCCCUUGGAGAAUCCUGUAAGUUGAAUAGAGGAUUUUGUUAUAUUUGAACACUAUGUAGAAAAUGUGUAAAAAUUGCGCAAAUACCUUUCCAUUACCACAUUUGUGUUUUUUUGGAUUGGGCCACUUUUUUAUCCAUUAAUUCGGGCCGUGUAGUGCGCGGAGGUGGCCCGAUAUGGUAUGGUUCUGGAUUUGAAUCCGCGUCAUGCUUUCCCGUGCUCAGUCCAAGGCCGGGUCCGAUGAGGGCCGGCCUUUUUUUAAAAACUUUUUAGGGUAAACUUCAAAUACCGUUCAUGUAGUUUCGCGCUUUCUCACUUUAGUAUUCUGUAAUUUGAAGUAUAUCACUAUAUCCAAGCAGGGUCGUGAAUGCAAAUACCAACUCUGCAAAAGUAUUUGAGUAACUUCGCACAUUUACAAAAAAAUAAAAAUAAAAUAAAAAAAAUGUAAAUAUCUAAUUAUUCUGAUGAUGUGUAAUGUAAAAUGAUAGGAGUGCUGCAUAUGUCUGGCCAAGUACAGGGAGAGGGACGAGGUGAGGCAGCUGCCUUGCUCUCAUCUCUUCCACCUCCGAUGCGUCGACCGCUGGCUCCGAAUCAUCUCUUGCUGCCCGCUCUGCAAACUGCAGCUUGAAAAGCAGUAGUCAGACUAAUAUCGAGCACUGAAAAUCAAUUUGAAAGACACCACUAUUAAUUUGUUUUAGGGUUCUUCCCAAAUUUGAGCUUGUUUAUGUGUAUCAACACAGGCAUUUUAAUCUUUACAUUUUUCUUUUUUUUUCUUUUUUUUUGUAAAUGAGUUUUAGUGCUUGCACCAAGGAGGGAAAAAGCACAUGAAUGUAUAUUUAUUUGAAGAAAGAGUUAAAGCUAUAGCAAGUUACAUGUAUAUAUAUAUAUAUAUAUAUAUAUAUAUAUAUAUAUUUUUCACAUUUUUUUUUAGUAAAACAUGUGCAGGAUGUAUAUGUUGUGAUCACUUGAGUAUAGUGUAGUUUUUUCUUUUCUUUUUUUUUCUCCUUUUUUUACUUUUUGUGCUUGCUAUAGAGUGUUUUAAUAAAUCAUUAAUAAACUGUGAUUGGUUAGGAAAAAGCAUGGGAAUUGUGGUGGAAAUUGUGAUACAACGACCACUGUCCACCUCGUCAUUUGCCGUUGAUUGGCAAAUCUCUUUAGGGUGGUACAACACGAACCAGCUUUCGGAGAUCCAUCAAACUAUCAAAAAUUCAAUGUAAAAGAGACGUAAAGUUCAGUGUAAAAAAGAGAGGAAGAAGAAGAAGCCCUUUGCAGAUUUCAAGUAAACCCCAGUUACACCAUUGCACCCGUCACGCCCCGGAUUACCCGUUUUUUCGGGCACGCCAACAAAUCCGCCGUAUACAAAAAAAUUUUUCCUGUAUACGAAACGAUAGCUGUACCUGUACCUGUAAUCAGACAAAACUACAACUAGUAGUAUAGAGCUGCUAAAGAACUGCAUAUAUAUAAAUAACACCUCGAGGCCCGAGGGGUUCCAGUACAUACCACAUGUCUACUACACCACUCGCUCCAGCGAGUACCCAGACAACAACAAUAUGUAUAUAAAUACCCCAAAACUACCUGUAGGAGGUACUCCUCUAACACUACAACAAAGCUGGAAGGGAUCUAACUCGCGACUCCCUUUCCACGAUCUGUAUCAGCAACAGCAACAGCCACCGACGAAGGCUCUGCAAAAAUGGUCAACAACUGGGUGUGAGAACUACUACAAAAGAAGUAGUUCUCAGUGAGUACCGCUACCGACCUCACUGGCUCACCCACUAAGUUUAUAGAAAGUACGCUCACUGACAGUAAAGGAAGCUGAAAAAAACUCUACAGUUAUAUGCCACUAUACUAUCGUUAAUCAACACUAACUAUCUGUAGCUAUAAAGUUGCACUGCCUGACCUAAUCUUACUAGGGACUGUGAACGCACCCGUCCCGCCUGCCGAAGCUACACUAACAACCAUCACGCUCGGUCGUCAGUGGAAAGCGAGUCCAACCAGGACACAACGAUAAAAAUGCAAACGCACAAAGCCCGAUUCCGAAGUGACACUCAUGGGCGCUACCCAACCGAGUAUGCAAGCGUGUCUCUCUCGAGCUCAAUCAGGCUCACAUGGGCUAUAGUCAAAGCAAAUGGGUCUAACUGAUCUAACAACCAAAACUCACGUGCCUUCGGCACAAUCUGAUGCAAGAAACAGAAAUCUGGGUCCACCGUUCACCGAGACGGCACCCGACAGUCCGGAACAGUCUACACGCUACUGUAAAAUAAGCUCGGCAUCCCAGCACGAGCGUAAAUUCAUUCUACACUAUUCUGGAUAUCCACCACAUACAAACUGUAACGAUACUAACAAACUACAGCUCCUAAAGCUAAAUCUGGUAGUUUUCAGAAACUGACAGUGUAGAAGGAAAUCGAGCUAUUAAACAUGAUAUAUGAAACCCAAAAAUACAUGCUGUCAACUGAGACUUAGAAGGAAAUCCGAAAAUUCCGGUAACUUCAACCCAUCUCAAGAGCGCGUCCAACAACGGCGAGAAGUCAAAAUAAGAGGAAGUCCCGCGCUCGCCCGGACUCCAACGGCGCUACCACGACGCAUGCACGCUCGAACGGCUCUCCGGCGCAACGUCAACGUCGAUCCGAGCUCCAACAGUGGUCUCCACCGCUCCAAUCUAGAGAGAGAGAGGAAAUAGCCAACAAAAUCCCACUCUGUGCCUCUCUAUACGUAUAUAAAGCAGUGGAAAGGGGUUGAUAACAACGAGGCAACAAUUGACCAAAAGGCCCCUCACCUACCCUAGAGUACCGGUACCAGGCCAGUGCCGUACCGGUACCCAGCAUUAGCAAUCGCAACUCGAGAGCAGCAAUCGGGAAAAAUUAUACAGGGGUACCGGUACUCUCCUGUAUGGUACCGGUACUCAAUACUGACAAUCUGCAAUUUGCAGAUUUCAGUACUAAAAUCCUAAUCCCGCGUCACACUAAAUCCGUUUUGCAUCUAUUUUGCGCCAAAACGAUUUGGACUUGUCCCAACACUUUCCAGAUGCGUUGAUAAGUCCCAGAUGCUAAAAUCUCAUGGGCAACAAAACAUCUGGGAUACUACAUCACCUCUUCUCUCUUCUAUAUAUAGAUAGAAGACAACGGUCUCAAGUAAGUUGUUGUCCCUUACCGAGGUGCUGGAUAUGAUAUCUUAUCGAGAUAGGGUAAUAUCUGGGCAAAGAGAUCUUACCCAGAUAAGAUAAUGAUUAGGCUUUAAAUACAAAAUCUCAAAAAAUUAAAAUAAAAGAAAAGGAGUAAGUGAACGGAGUAGUCUAGACCGCACACACCGCUCGCCCACCCAACGCAGCUCGUGCAGUGCGUGCGUGUGUUUAAUUGAGAGCAUCACUCUCAUAUUUUUCUAAAUAACUAACUUGAGAAAAAAUGAGUAUAUAAGAUGCAAUCACAAACUUUUAAUUUUUAAUGUUAGACUAAACCACACGUGUAGAAACCUAAGCACCAGCUCCCAGAGAAGGCCCAUAGAAGGUUGGGCCGCCCAGGAAGCCCAUGGACAGAAUUGAAGUUUUAAAUCACCUAUAUUAUAUUAGUGCUAACAUAUACAACUAAACUAAUUAAUUAAUGGUACUGGUGUAGCAUUAUUUGAGCAUAAUUACUUCAUUGUUAGAGGUUCUAAUUAGUGCAUAAGAAUUUAUUAAUUAAUGACACCUCACCAAACUAAUUAAUUAAAGCACCUGUACUUUAAAUUUCGUGGCAUAAAAGUACAUGAUCUUGGGUUAUAAUAUGAGAUCUUAUACACUCUUAUUAAUUAUUAAUUAAUUUUACUAUUGUUUCUAAUGAACAAUCAAUUCCACUUAUCUGUAUCUUUGUAGUAGUACACUGAUAAGGUGUAGUUAUUGUCAUGAUCAAUAGUAUUAAACAAUCUAAAUAUACUUUACCCUUCUAAGUAUAAUAGGUUGUGUACUUAAACUUCUUAGAUGUGAAAAAAUAUUCAUUAAAUUUUUAGAAACUUACGCUACUAGUGUUUAGGGCCUGUUUGGUUUCUUGAAAAGUAUCUCAGAAAAUUUUUUUUGAUUGAAAAUUUUUUUUCCGUAUGUUUGUUCGCAAGAAAAUUAAAUAUUUUUUAACAAUUAUUUUUCAUAUUUCACAGAAAAUUUUUCAUUUUGUUUUCAAAAUUUAUUUUAGGAAAGCAGAAUUUUUUUCUCUCACCACCGUUUUGAAGAAUAAAAAAGGAAAAAAAAUCUAAUUAUUGAUGCCAAAAUAUAAUUAAAAUUUAUUUUUAUUUAAUUAUUUAUUAUUUAUAUUGUAAAUAGUUUGUGAGUAUUAUGUUAAAUUUUAAAAGUAUGAUAAUCUCAUCCUCUUUUUGUAGGAUGUGUUAUGGGUGGAGACGAUAAGAUCGUUUAUUUACAACUACACCGGAAUAGUAUACAAAGUCAACAGAUCUCAACCAAUCGUUAAAUAGGAUUUAUGGCUACACAAACCGUUGAGGAUAGUUCUAGAUCUGGGCCAAGACGAACUACUGUAGGGGAUUUAUUGAAACCAUUGAAUUCGGAAUAUGGUAAAGUAGCUCCGGGAUGGGGGACUACACCACUUAUGGGGGUCGCAAUGGCUCUAUUUGCGAUAUUCCUAUCUAUUAUUUUGGAAAUUUAUAAUUCUUCCGUUUUACUGGAUGGAAUUUCAAUGAGUUAGGUUUAUAAGAACUAUGAAGUCCUAGUCUUUCAAUCAAAGAAAAAAUUACUUUAGACUUGGAUUUCUAGACCAUUCUAUUCUGGUAGUUCGACCGUGGAAUUUAUUUGUUUCGGUAUUUGCGGAAUAUGAGUGUGUGACUUGUUAUAAUUGAUCCUAUUGAUAAUACAUAGAAUGGACCUGUUAUCUCUAUCAAGAUGAUUCUACCUCGUCGGAUAUUUAUUCUAGUAUCUGGAGCACGGAAUAUAUAGAAUAGAUCAAGAAAAGAAAUAUUUGAACUAUGAUUCAUACCUNACUUAGAUCGAGAUAUUGGACAUAGAAUGCCAAUCUUUAAAAUGUAAAAAAAAAGGAGUAAUCAGCUGUGACACGUUCACUAAAAAAAAAUCCUUUUGUAGCUAAUCAUUUAGCGGGAAAAAUUGAAAAACUCAACAUGAGGGAGGAGAAAGAAAUAAUAGUAACUUGGUCUCGGGCAUCUACCAUUAUACCCACAGCUCACCACAAAAUUGGUCUAGGCUAGCAAGAUAAGUCUCACAUCGCUUGAUACUUAUGAGUCUGAGCCUGACGAGAACGUCAGGACUUAAGAGGGGGAGAAUAUAAGAUCUCAGAUAGUCCUAUAUAUAAGAUAUAAUAGGACUAAAACUUUUAACCUAACUUAAAUAUUUUGAACGAUGGUUAGGCCGAAGAGGUUAAGAGUGUUAAGCGUACUAGGACGGGAAUAGUCUUAGGCUUAGUUUGGUAUUGAGGCCUAUCUAAGGCUAUUAGAUAAAAUGGAGUUGAAGAAAAAGCAUAUAGGGAUAUGCUUUUGCGUUUUCCGGUGGGACCGCAGAAAAUAUAUCGUAACCGACUCAUCACGAUAUACAGAACGUAAUAUUAUGUACGAAAACAAAAAGGGUAUUUUUUCAACGUACUUUCUCACCGCACGUAACGCAAUCUCUUAGCAAUCCCAAACGAAGACUUAGGACAGGAAUAGUCCUAGGACGAGAGAUAACUUAACGGAUGGUAACUGCGGGUGCAUUUUUGAAUAACGGAGUUAUAUAUGAGAGAUAUAUUUGAGAAAAAAGAGUAGGAAUAAAUUAAAUAUUUUCCAAAUUUUGAGGGGUAUAUAGAAAAUUAUUUCAAAAAACUAUUAUUCCUAUGGAAUAUAAAUUAGAAUUAUGAUCUUUAUACAGCAUGAGGAGUUUUUUUUUUCAAUAUAUCAACUUAAGAUUUUUGAUCGAAUCUAAGCUUUUUAAUAAAACCUACUACUUAGGUUCAUUAUAAAAUAGAUUAAAUUAAGGACAUUAAUUCUUUAAUAAAAGAUGUUUUUUUUUUUUAUCUUAGAUUGAAUUUGCAGUAAGUUGUUGGCCUGUUUGAAAUUAAGGGCCAUCAAAUGAAAUAUCUUUCUCCAUCUUUCGGUAAGACCGCGAAAAGUAUAUUAUAAUGAACUUAUUACGCCAUGUAAAAUAUAAUAUUACUUGCAAAAAUAAAUGAGAUAAUUGUUUGAAAAACUUCCUCGAUCAUAUGAUGUAAUGCAAUCUCUGUGCAUUCCCAAAUAGAUAUGUAACAAGGCUUCAUGAGGAGUCAUUUCAAUAAUAAUGUGACCCAAGUGCAAAUAUAUAUUGUAUAAAUUUUUGAUACAUAUUUCAGAACGUGCAACGGGUGCUCGACACACAAGAAAAAAUAUAUUUCAUGCUAUUAUGUGUCGGCACACAAGAAGUUUUUUGACUGGCACACAUCGGCACUGCUCGACACGCACCGUGCCGUACCGUGCCGAUAAGUUUCCAGCAUAACCCCAUGCCAUGGCACUUAAAUCCUUGACUGGAAUACGUAUAACUACAGAAAUAAGCAUGAACAUUAUCAAUUUUGCAUUUGGAUUAAAAAAAAAAAAACUGGAUUAAUCUUACAAAAAAGAAAAAUAACAUUUGGGUGGUUAGAUUGCAAUAUAAAAAAUAAGAAUAAUUAUAAGUUUAAAAUAAAAUUAUUUUAUCUAAUUAAUUAAUUUUACCUAAUUAAAUAAUAAUUUAAUAAAUUAAUAAAUUUUUAACUAUAAAUAUUGUAUAAGAUAAUAAAAAAACAUAAAUUAAUUAAUUAAAUAAAAAGUAAGAUAACUUUUUAAUUAAAUAGUAAAUUAUCUAAUUAAUUAGAUUAGUCAAAAUAUUUAUAGGUUGAUCAAAUAAAUAUUGAUUAUUAGAUAAAUACAUUAAAUAAUUGAUUUUCAAUUAACUAAUUAAUUAUAAACAAUUAAUUAAUUAACUAUUUAAGCAAUUGAUAAUAAUUUAAAUACAAUAAUUAGAUUAAUUAAUAAGACAAUACAAUAAUUAAAAUUAGAUUUUGAUUUUAAUUAAGUUUCAUACCCUUAUACAAUUAUACCAGCUUAUUUUUCAGAAAAAAAAAGGAAACUACAACUCCAAGCCAAGCCCUAAAUUUUGUGUUUUGGUAUAAAAAGGGGAAUAAGAGUUUAUUCCCAAAACCAAAUGUACUAUUACAAAUGCAUCUUAAUUUAUGCAUUAUAUAUCUAUAUAUAUAUGAAAUUUAUAAGAUAUUUUUACUUAUUUAUUUCUUAUUAUUAUUCAAAAUUCUUAAAUUUAUCCUAAAUUUAUCAAAAUGCCUUUCUAAAAUUUAAUUCUAUCAGCAAACUCUAAAAGAAGAAUAUUUGAUUUGUUUUAAAUCAAUAAAAAUAUUUUUAUCAUUUAGGAAUAAAUAAGUUAUUUUUUAAAUUUUGAAAAAAUAUAUUAGAUAUUUCCAAUUUAUAAAAUACAAUAUAUUAUUUAGGUACCGUAAGGAUUAGAUAUUAGCUAUCAAUUAAUUAUUAUACAUCCAUGUGCUCAAAAAUAUGUUAAUAUUUUUAGAAAUAUUUGUCUCAAACUUCGUGCCUACCUAACCCCACGGUUGGGCGCUGGAUCCGAGCACGACUUUGAUGCGUUCAGACCUUCAGAUCACGACGAUGGAGGGAUCGAGUGCGUGGGUGGUCGUACAGCCUUCGACCAAACAUCGAAUUAUGUCGACACGUAGCAUCGACACCCAUAGAACACACACUUACAAAUACUUGUGAAAAUAAUUGGCUGGCCUUGGUUCACCACGUAAACCGUGAACCACCGCGCAUGAAACAUAAUAGUCAAAAGAUAGGGUAAACUUUAAAUACCACCUCUGUGGUUUCACACUUUCUCUCUCUAGUACUUGUGAUUUAAAGUGUAUCAAUUUAGUGUCAUAUGAUUUUAUUUUUAUCUUUUUAUUGUUUAUUCUACUAAUUUUUUUGUUAAAUCAGUGAGAAAGUUAAAACUAAAAGAUACUAAAGUAAAUAUUUGAUAAACCUAGGUAGGUGUCUGAAGCUUUUUGUAUACGAUUUUACGAAAUAUUAACAAAAAAGCUGAUAAAAAUAUAAAAAUGAAACCACAAAACACUAACUAGAUACACUUUUUAAACCACAGGGCACUAAAGUUAGAGACUGCGAAACCACGGAAGUGACAUUUGAAAUUUACCCUUAUAUUUAUAAUAAUUUUUAGGACUAAUUUCAUAUAGGUCCUUGCAAAUAUAGUGAAUUAUAAAUAUAUUCCUACAAAGUUCAACUUUCAUAUGUUGUUACUAUGAAAGUUCUAAUGUUUUUAAAUAUGUCCCUUCAGUUUGUUACCGUUAAAACACUAUUUAUUUUAUAAAUAAAAUGACUUUUUUGCUAUCACAAAUAUAUUCCUCCAAAAGUCGCAACUAUUAAUAAAAAAGGGGUAAAAAGAUUAAUUCAUCUCAUUAACUAUCUAGGGUUAAGUAUUUUAUCUGUGGUUAAGUAAUUUUUUCUAACGGAUCUUAACGGCGGGGACAUAUUUGAAAACAUCAGGACUUUUGUAUAGACAAUAUAUGAAAGUUAAACUUGUAGGGAUAUAUUUAUAAUUCAUUAUAUUUGUAGGGACUUAUGUAAAUUUAACCCUAAUUUUUAUUAAUAUAUAUAUAUAUAUAUAUAUAUUGUCGGUGAUUGAGAGAAAAGGUGGCAUGAAUAGCGCAUCCAUCUUCUUGCCCUUGAGAAGCGACAGCACAGCAAUAAAGAAUAUCACCAAACUACUAGUAAACAAAGAAAUAAAGCUCAGGCAAAAAAAAACCAGUCAUUCCUCCCACCAAACAACAGUCGGAAAUGAAUUCUAGUAUCAACUUCGGCAUCUCAAAUAAACAACUCCAAGUGCAAACUAGAACACAAAUAAACUGACAAAUUGCCAUGCUGAGAACGACAAAAUUUAGAAAAUCCGCAACUAAACAAAGUACUCAGACUCUCUCCUUACAUGAAGAGAUUAGGGCGGGAGGCCUUGUAGGUUGUCUUGAGCUUCCUGGUAGGCGGCCGCACCUUCCUAAAGACGAGAGGGAACUUGAUCUUCGAAUCGUGGAACUGCUUGGUGCUCUCGCGCUUGCAGAGCUUGGCAGGGACGGUGGCGGUCUUGAUGAUCUGGAUGCAGUGGAACCUCACACGGUGGCGGGAUGCCAUCUCAUUGUACAUCUGCUCCACGGCCCCAUUAAGAGUGGUGUCUCUGUACUCCUUGUACAUGUUGUGGUAUCCCGUCCUGCUCUGGUACCUCAGCCAUAUGCCAUAGUUCUUGAUCUUUGUUGGGUUCCUCUCGAAUAUCUUGACCAUAAAUUUAGUCCAAGUCAGAUGCGUUAAUAUAAAGUAAAAUCGUAUAGGCGCAGUGUGAACUAUAACACAUUUUUACAAUGGACACCUGAGCUAAAAAUGAUGAUCUUGAGUACCCAGCUUUCCAGUUUGCUUGAUUUUCCUACCUCUCCAUCAGAGCUUNCCAUUAAUAGGGGUUAGAAGUGAGAGUUAGCAUUCCGACGCACCAAUCGCCCUGGCCACGACGCCUUCUUUGUUUGUACUGAUGAAUACUUUUUAUUUUUUAUUGGUAGCUUCUGUAAUUUCUACCCGCUGUGAAGUGCAGGUCUUUUUCUCUAGAGUGUAUAUAUAUAUAUAUAGAUGAUGAGAUUUCUCCCAAUGUCGGAAGAAGAAUAUUCUUAGUUGAAAAGACGAUUAAAUGGGUACACUUAUCUCUCGUUUAAAAUUACUCUCUCCAACUACUAAUAUUGAGACUUAAUUUUAUACAGCUCUAACUACCUCAGUUAAAUUCAAAUAUAUCAAACAACGACAGUAUAUAUAGUUUCAACCAUAUGCGAUGAAACUGUCCCUAAAAUAAGCAAAUAUGUAAAUAUAGCUUCCGACCGGCACUCGGUCGAACGGAAAAUUUACAUUUAUAGAUCA